This 70860-nucleotide long non-coding RNA is filed under the name Triticum aestivum (bread wheat). Its description in RNAcentral is "long non-coding RNA (TAES_LNC006303)". The stretch from base 68248 to 68334 matches the Rfam family "MIR1120/MIR1122 microRNA precursor family". The record is from RNAcentral. Lineage: Eukaryota; Viridiplantae; Streptophyta; Magnoliopsida; Poales; Poaceae.
CUCUUCUUUGGUUGCCUCCUCAAGAACCUGAGAGUCAACAAUACUUGUGAUAUUUCCAUCUUUGAAUUCCUGGAGAAAAUAGUUUGACAAGCUCUUGACCGUGCCUGAUUCACUUGUAAAAACAGGCUUCAUUCUGAGAAGCAACUCCACUAGUACCACACCGAAACUGUACACAUCACUCUUCUCAUUUAACUGUCUGGUAUGGAAAUACUCUGGAUCUAAGUACCCAAAUGUACCCUGUACAUUCGUGACAAUGUGUGUUUGAUCAGUUGGAACCAAUCUAGACGCGCCAAAAUCUGAAACUUUAGCUGUGUAGUUCACAUCCAAGAGUAUAUUCGAGGACUUUACAUCACGAUGGAAGAUUGAUAUUGAAGCUGAAGAGUGGAGAUAAGAUAGAGCUCCUGCUGUUUCCAGGGCAAUCCUUACGUAAUCAAUCCAAGACAGAGAAAAACCAUCACUUGAAUCAGCAUGAAGAACUUGAGACAGUGAGCCAUUGGAUACAUAGUCGUACACCAGCAGCGGAACCUCAGUUUCGAGACAACAUCCGAAGAGCUUUAUAAUAUUUCUAUGAUUUAUCUGAGAGAGAACUGCGACCUCAUUGAUGAAUUGACUGAUCUCACACUCCUCAAUGACCUUAGACAUUUUUAUUGCAACAACUCGCUGAUCAGAUAACAUGCCUUUGUAGACCAUGCCAUGGCCCCCACGGCCGAUGAUACGUGUAGGAUCAAAGUUGUCUGUUGCCUUCUCUAGCUCUUCUAAUGAGAAAAUCUUCGUAUUCUCAUUUGCAGUUUCAUCAGAUGAUAUCAACGUUUCUAAGAGAAGACCUUGGUUCUUCCGGAAAUAGUUCUUCCGUAGUUGCUUUUGAACAUUUAUUUUCCAUCUGCGAGUGAAACACACUACACUGAAGCUCAGAAGAAGAAUGCCCAAACCACAGGACAGCCCAAUAAUCAUACCUGCAGGCAUUUAUCUCUUUUAAGUUUCUGUUCUAUCUUGUCUAUCAUAAAUGUAACAACAAAUAUAGUCUUACCUAAGAGUAGAGGCUGUUGUUUUAUCUUAGUGCACUGCAUUUUUAAUGGAUCAUAUUCAGUCUCGAGAGGACAUUCAGUACAACGGAAGCUUCCAUUGGUAUUAUGGCAGAUCCCUUUACAACUGUUCGCUUGAAGGCAUUCAUUAAUAUCUGAAAUUAACAAAAUCUUGAUAAGAUGUGUUGACAAAAUAUAUACUCCCUCUGAUUCACCAUAAGUAGUUCAGGACAUGGGCGCUAUCUUCAUAGCAACUUUGGACAAACACAUUUUAGAAAAAUAAUAUUGCUUCAAACAAAAAUAACUAUAUAUUAUAAGAAACUAUUUCACGGCUAAUCUAGUCAUAUCAAUUGACACUUCCCAUGUUGGUAGUUUUUUCUAUACUGAUGGUGAAAUCUAAAAUGUUUAAAUGGCAAGAAUUCUAAAGCUGAUUAUAUUAUGAAUCAGAGGGUGUAACAUGGAACACAGCACAGCAUUGAAUUAGCAUGAAACAGUACAUCAGCCAACUAAAUGAGAUCUACAUGGAAAAAAACUAGAAAUAGUAGAAAAAUUACUGGCUAAAAGUAACAUGCAGUUAUUGUAGUAACACGUGCAUUUAAAUACAAAUGUACUCCUACAACUUUAUUAUAGAGAGUUAAGAAAUACUCCCUCCGUUCCAAAUUACUCGUCGUGGUUUUAGUUCAAUUCCAAAUUACUCGUCGUGGUUUUAGUUCAAAUUUGAACUAAAACCACAACGAGUAAUUUGGAACGGAGGGAGUAGCUAAUAGUACAUUUUUUCAAGCGGUAGGGGCUGUAUCAUUUGUAACACUAGAGGGAGGGAGGGAGUACCUCGACAGCCACUUUGGAUAUAUGGAUUUCCUUGGAAGCCAUCUGAGCAUUUGCAGCAGUAACCAGCAUAGAUUCUUUCAGCAGUUACUUCCACACACUUGCUGUUGGUACUCACACAAGCAUAUGCAGAUCUAUUCUGUUGGGCCUCUGCGCAACUUAGAUGAGCAGCAACCCAUUUGACAGAGAGAAAUAACCCAUAUUCAUAUACGAGACUGUGACGUUCUGAUAUGGGGUCCCAACGUUGUUGGUCAGCAAAAGUGAUAUUAAAGGUCCCUUCAUCAACAUUCAUGUCGAUGACUUGUUUCUCCUCCAACAUGACCAGGGCAUCUGAUGACGUCAGAUCUGUGCAGUUGAGGUGAAACUCUUCCCUAGCAAAGCAACCCUCUUCGAAGCCGAAUGGGAAUUGCACACUAAUGUUACCACACCAACGGGUACAGUCAGCCCUGCUCGGAAUUGGAUUAUACCCUAAAUUGAUCAGUAUAAUGUUAGCAUGUACAAAUGCCAAAAAUGGCUCGCAGAAGCUGUACGUCACUUGAUUAGCUAGAAAAAAAGUUACCUUUGCUGUUACUGGAGCAGCCAUGUGGAAUGUAGGGGUUGCCUGUAUAGCCCUCGUUGCACAUGCAGUUCCAGCUGUAGCCAUUUCUUGAUGUCAUGCCAGUUGUAUCGUAGUUGUAACCGCGGCACUCAGAAUGGUCGCUGACACAGGCAACACAGUCGGUGGGUUGAUUCCCUAUAUCCCAUGAGAGCAUUAAACCACCAUCAGCGGUUAUGCUGAUUUUAUCCCACAACUUAGAGGUCUGGUUAGAGUGUGCUCUGGUGUUUAUUGUGUCAUGGUCAUAGACAAAUUUGAACUGAUAAAUGUCACAAUAGUUGUGCACGUCUACACGACAACAGCCAAAGCCAUUACAGUUGUGCAUAGCCACCGUCUCUGAAAUUUCUGGAUCUGGGCACACAGUUGCGCAGAUCGGCUGGAUGGCAUUCUCUUUGACAGAGUACACUGCCAGGUCGCAGCCAAUGAUGUUUAGAACAAAGGGAUAAAGAUGGAAGGACCUCCCAGGUGGUUUGAAAGACAAGUUGUAAGCACUAACACCAGAUUUCAAGGGGAUGGUAUGCGAGAAGGAGGCCCAGAUCGAGUUUAAAUCAUAAUGAGAAUCACCGCCAAAGUUGACCACUUCGGUGAUGCCGUCACACAAGAAAAGUAUGGGGGGGUGAGUGGCAUCGUUGCAACUGAGGUUGAAGUCAGGCCCACGGGAGCACCUGGAUCCGAUGCCGAAGGGAUAGCUGAAGCUCACACUGCCGCAGCUCGUCGGGCAGUCAUCGAGCGUGAAACCGGCACGGGAUGGUCGUGCCCAGGUCCCUUCGGGGCUCUGCUGGUUUGUCACAACUCCGGAUGCCAGAGCUGUUAGCUUUCCUAGUGACCCGAGUACCAGCAGAGAGAACAUCAUCGGCAAGAUGCCCAUGGUGGAUCGACAGUUCUACACUACACCUUGCACUAGAGAAAUUCAGGUCAGGCAGCAGCGCCUCUCUUAUAGCUAGUACCACUUUCAUGACUGCCUUCCUACUGCAAAUAUAUCUAGGAUAUGGUUACAAAAACUUAGAGUUGACCCAAGGAAGACUGGAAGAGGAUUCGUGUGGAACUUCCUAGGAGAUGGCCAUGUGAAAGGAGACGGGCAUGCAUGACCAUGAGUCCAUGACCUAGUAAAUGGUCCUGUGGAUUUGGACUUGAAUGGAGCACUGGUGUAUUUGAUGCGAUGUUAAGGAGAUGACCAUGACCUUGACCUCGUACACAAAGACCUCAGCAAGUCGGCCAAUACCUUCUGUCUGCAAAUAAUUCAAGCCCACCAUAAUCAUUUUGCGGGUGCCAUCCUGCUCAUCAUCCACCAUACCCGGAUGGCAACCUUCAUUGUCCUCCCACUUAGUGGAAGAUAAGCUAACUGAGAUAAGUAACAGUAACUGAACUCCAUCCCCAAUUUCAGCUGCUGUUCGCCUAAGCUGCAAACGGGGGUAUCACAAAGUAAGAAAUUCUGACCGCUGGAGAUAAAUUACAGACACGGAAUCAAGUUUAAAAAAAAUAGGAAAUGAGCACCUGUACACGGAUUGCUUGGGUUUUCGGUGGGGAAGUGGAUCCAUCGGAAGAACUGAAAGAACCCAAUGCCUCAAUCUCAGGAUGCUUAUAUAUGAAUACAGAUGAUGAUGGAGAGGGCGAGAAGCGGCCGCGUGGGCGACCUCCAUGGAGCAGCUGCAGCUGCAGCGGCGGCGGCGUGUCCACUUCGGCGAAGUCGCCGGGGGCGGCGAGCUGGUGUGCACGGUGCGGUGCAGGUACCAAGGUACGAAAUGGAGGGAGCUUAGCGGAAGGAGGAGAAACCAAGCGCACAAACUGGAGGAAGGGGGCGCUGGAGAUGGGGUAGGACGGCGCGCGGUGGAGAUGGCGCGGACGGUGGGGGAGCAGAACGGCGGUAGGGGAGGAGAACUGGGGAAGGUGCUGGAGGAAGACGGGUCCUCCACAUUGCGUUGGGCCCUCGUAAUUUCGUCUAUCCUUGGGCCGAGCGAUGACCAAGCCUUUCCUCCCGUGGUGUGGAGUGUGCUAUUACAGUAAUACUCUGCAUAUCGAAUGGUUGCUAUAUCAAUAUAGCGGGGUGAAAGCCUGCCCGCGAGCCGUCCGUCGGCACGGCGGAGCUGAGCAAGCGGUCGGAGGAUUUCCUCAAGACUAGUAAGCUUGCACGUGCAACACACGUCUUGAUGGAUAUUACAAUCAGACAUGAGAAUCACGUGCAUAGAAAAACAAUUUGAUAGCAGUAAGAAUACUACAAAUCAACAUAUAAUAUAAAUGAGCUUUAAGAAACGCAAUAACUUACAAUUAUAUGCAUCGAGCAACAACACAAGUAAUUAUCUCAGUAUUCCUGAUAAGCUUAUAUGGUUCUCAUGGAUGUUGUCUUCAGCUUCAUUCUUGAUGUAGUCAUGGAAGUGCACCAAAAAUUGUGUUAUGAGAAUCAACAUUCAUGCCCUGUAUUUGGCACUAUACAUACUAACAUAGUUUUCAUCAAAGGAGUAAGCAAGCAUCAUGACCAUCAUCGUGCACGGAAUUAUACAUGGCCAAGACAUAUUAGAGUAAUAAAUCUGCCAUGUUAGCUUAUUGACAUGUCCUAGGUGCUAAUAAAUAAUAAUUAUGUGACCCAAUAAGUGCCUCUGCCACUCUUGGGAUUACAUAAGGCUCAGCCACUAAGAACUUACAUGACAAUUUCAGGAAAGAAUGUAACUACUUGCAAUCUAGAAGCAACAGCAAAUAUAUUAGAUAUUGUUGCUUGCAUAUUAUUUCUUGUCCAUGGUCAUAUGCAUGAAAGGGUUUCUAGCACACACUUUAGAUAUUCUGUAACAUGAUAUUACAUAGAAAAAUGAAGCAUAGGGAUUUUCACGUGUAACAUCGACAAUAUAUACAUGUAGUUGCCUCAAACGGCCAUAUGAUCUUACAAAUGAAAGCACAAAACUAAAAAGGAACAUAUAAGAAAUGUGAUUCAUAUAGUAUUUCAUUACCAACAGGGCAUAAAAAAUGAAAAAGAAACAGAAUCACAAGUCCAAGUCUUCGCACGUCUUUUUAUAAGUGCAGCCUUAACUGAAAACCUGAAAGUAAACUAAAAUGAGCAUGCUUUUAUAAAAAAAAAAUUAGCAAAUAUAUAUGUUACAAGUAUGAAGUUUGUAGUUUGUAAUUCAGUUCUUUACAUCAUAAAUGUAUACACUGUUUUUCAUCCUUUGGCAGGGAGUAAUAAAAGGCAUAGUCCUAAAUGUGAACUAAAUUUUAAUGAGACAUAAAUUUAUUAGCUAGAUAAUGUUUCAGUCGACCUUGUUUGAGAGGAAGCACCACUAUCCAUUAUUCUGUUAUUCAGCUAAAAAAACAGAAAAUGAGUAUUUCCAAUAGCUAGUCAUUAUCUCUGUAUCUCUGAAUUUCUUGUACAAUCAUUGUGUGCUUGUUCAAAACAGAUCCCCUGAACUUCAAAUUCUACAUUUAUUUAAUUGGAAAGUCUAAUUUUAUAACAUUGUUGGAUGCUCUAUGGUUUCAGAGUAAUUGACUAUGAAAGGAAGUGACAGAGCAACGUAAAACUGGUAGGAUAUACACAUAUGAGUUCUGUGAAAUACAUGUAUUACAAAUUGGCCCGUGAUUUUUUUUCCACUUAAAUCAAAAGGAGGCAAGAAGCAAACUUUAAAUACGUGUGCACCUUGCCUUCUAUUAUCAGUCAGAAAACCAUAUAGAGAUUGCCCAAAUUCAAAAUAAAUCGGGAUAAGCAUGCAAGUUUUACCAUAUCCAGUUUCAUGUAAGUGGCUGCGUCAUUCAAGCCACCUGUUUUUAAACAAGACUUAAAAAGAUAAAUUUCCUUUCAAAUUUACUAUUGUAACAUGUUAAAAAAGGAGAUGAGGAAAAGAGCAUAGUAACAUAGCCGAGCACUUUCCAUAUUAACUCAAGUUCAUGCUGAUAGAAAUCUUGGAAAUAAUCAUUUCUAUAUGUAACUUUGUAGUGCUUUAUCGCAUCCACUGAACUAUGUCCUGGACUUGGUCUAUAUAUUAAAUCAUUUCAGCUUCUGGAUUGUUGUCAUAGAACCUAUCUUUAUAAUACAGUGUACAAUGUUUCUAAUUGCAAAAAAUCCACAUGUGUGUUAAGGAUUCCCAAAAAUGGAACCUAACAAUAUCACAAAUACUUAUUUCCAUCUCUGCAAAAGAAACUCUCGGAAAUAUAUAUCUCUGAAUCAAUGAGCAUAGUCCUAUAUAAGAAUUUACAAAAAUCUCUUUCAAAGAAAUGGUAAUGUCUAAUUUACAACAGUGUGCUGGAGUUUUAAAUACAACCAGUUGGGGCAAUUUAUUGGACAAGUUGCACAUGUUCAUAGAGAUGAACGCAAGGAAGCAUUGAAGUCCCACGGAGGAAGAUGGCCGUGCAACUGCUCGAGCGAUGAAUAAUUCAGGACUGAGUUGUGACAAUCAUUUACAGCUUCCACCUCAAUAGAAACAAUAAGUUAAUUACAUACAUACCUUGAGCCAAGUAGGACAAUCACGGGAAGCAUCACGUGUCCAGAUUUAGGGAACGGCGAGUGGCUUUGCCAGUCACUCUCACAUCCUCGGGACGGUGAUCGGCAAGAAGUGGAUGCAAGUGACCCCGCAGGUGAUGCCAUCCUGCAGAGUUCUCAACACAGCAACACGUAAUAAAUUCAGCAACAUGCAUAUCAGUUGUCCGUCGUGAUUGACCCCAAGAAUCAACCGAAGAGGAGGUGGAGCGGGGAGGUCUGCAUCCGUGUAGUGCAGCGGCGCUCGGACUGGCACGUGUGCCCAUGGCGCAGCGGGGAGCAGGCAGGCGAGGCCCCGGUUGGCGCUGCGGCGCUCGGACCAUUGCUUGCGUGCCAGCGUGGGUGGCGGCAAUGCAAGGAUCCGUGAGGACAUGGGCCGUUAGCGGAGGAGCCGAGCCGGCGGCUGACAGUGGCGGAGGAACGGGGGCGACGGGGCGCUGGCGGCGGCCGGGCGCGUGGGUCGCAUCAGGGCCAAGCAGAUCGGCCUGCAGCAGCAGACAGGGAAGGCGAAAACUGGGACGCGUGGUUAUAUUUUGGUUAGCGCUAAUUUCAUGAUGAGAUUAGGUGAGAGGUUAGCGCUAAUUGGGGAUAGAAUCACGUGGUUGCCAAAUGAAUCUUUCGUUCCUUGGAUGGCAGGCAGAGUUUUCGUCCGCUCCUCAAAAUUGCCAAACGUACUUUUGCUAAGAUUUGGUUGUUAUCUUAACGGUUAGAUCCAAAUGAAUUGAGACGAUCGUGAGGCUCUAAUUGUUUUGGUUAGUUGCGUGUACGUUAACCGGAGUGCACUUAGAAAAGAUAAUGUUUGCUUGUUUAAUAGUAGUAUAGAUAUAGAAGAUCCACAACUCCUUCGGGCGGCACCAAUAAUACCAGCCACCAUCAACCCAAAAAUCCCAAACCAAUCCAAAUCAAAAUGUUCUCGGCUGUGUAAAGAUCAUAUCCCUUUAAAUUAGUCUUUCUCCUUCCCUUCUUGGUGUGCCCUGUUCCCUGUGCCCUUUUUCUCUUUGUUAUAUCGGGUGGUUGCCAUAUCAAUAUAGCGGGGUGAAAGCCUUUUUCUCGAAUAUUUUUUUGUCUAAAAAAAAUAAUAUCGGAUGCUCGUUGACACAAAAACCAGAAGAGAGAACUGGUUAGAUGGGAUCCAGGGAUCUUCUGAUAAUCAUGAAAUUGCUCGGUCAUGGACAAAGCUUUGAAACCUAUUAAUACCAUCGAAACUCAAAAUUUUUGUUUGGAGGCUGGCACAACAGUCUUUGCCAUCCGCAGAUCUCCUUCAACACCGGCACAUAUCAAAUUCAAGCUGCUGUGCUCUUUGUGGAUGCGAGGACUCUUGGCGGCACUCUUUACUGGAUUGUACUACAUCAAGAUGCAUUUGGGCACUGUGCGAUGAGAGCAUCACAGAGAGCAUGGCGACAUGCACCGAACCUUCAGCAAAAAACUGGCUUUUUGCGAUGAAUGAUCUACUACCGCAUGAAGAGUUCAUAAGGAUGAUAGUUACACUUUGGGCAAUCUGAUAUGGGAGACGGAAAGCUAUCCACGAAAGCAUUUUUCGGAGCCCACGCUCCAUCCAACAGUUUGUGUUAUCCUUUAUAACAGAGCUUGAGUCAAUCAAGACUCCAAGGCUCCCAGGCCCAGUACCGCCUCAUGACAGGACUCAGAGAUGGAUCCGCCUUCUGGGGGAUGUUCAAAAAUAAACGUGGAUGAAGCUUUCAGUAGAUUCGAAAGAAGGGCAGCAGCUGCUGCUGCGAUCUGCAGGACGGAGCAAGGAACAUACAUUGGAGCCUCAGCGAUUGUGGUGGAGAAUAUAUCAAACCCAGCUAUAUAUAAUGGAAGCUCUAGCUUGCCGAGAGGGUAUAGCACUAGCUGAAGACCUAACACUGAGAAAUGUUGUUUUAGUUGCGGAUAGUCAAGAGGUGAUCAAAGACAUAGAACAAGAAGCAGCUGGUCCAUAUGGUGCAAUCAUCAAAGAAUUCAUAGAUCGGAAGAAUAUGCUUGACAAAUGUAUUUUAGUUCAUGAGCAUAGAAAUUUCAAUUUUGAGGCUCAUUGCCUCGCAAAACAUGCUGCUACUCUAGGUAUUGGAAGACAUACUUGGUUGGGUCAACCUUUUGAUCCCAACAAAAUACCUGUAAACCUUGUUAUUGAGUAAUAAAGUGCGUGGUUUUGCCUAAAAAAGCAAUAUUGUUUUUUAAUUUUUGCCUUUUAUUUUUGGUUUGUUUAUUUAUUCCAAAAAAUAUUUUUACUUAAUUUUUUAUUGCAGCAUGUAUUUUAAAACAUUUAUGAGGUGUAUUUUUACCAGUAGGUGUUUUGUUAUGUGGAUAGUAUUUCUAUUUUUAGGUUAUACAUUCAUGAAAUUUACCAUGUGAAAGCAUGAGCAUAUUUCUACUUUAAGUAUGAACAUUUAUGAUUGAAGCGUGUAGCAAAUUAUUGAACACUAUUCCUAAAUGUAAAAAAUGUUCAUAUAUCUAGAAAAUUGCCCAUGGCUAUCAAACGUUCCCGGGUAUGAAAAAACAAAUAUUCAUGAUUUACAAAACAUAUUUGCGUAUCUAACAAAAAAGUAUAAAGGUAAUAAAAAAUAAAUACAAAAAUAAGGAAACCAAACAAGCAAAACAAGUAGAUAAAAACGAAAAAAAUAAGAAAAUAAAAAAAGCAUGCAAUAAAGAAAGAAGAGAACAUUAUAACUAAAAUAAAUUAGAUAAGGGGGGAUCUUACCAUCAUGCGUCGAGCCUGUCACAAGAAUGUGGUAGAAAAGAAAAUAGGAAAGAAAAAAGGAAAGGGAAAAAGUAGACACUCCCAAAAAGAAUAUAAAAUCUAUAUCUAUACCUACUAUUAAAGGGAAUAUGUAUUCUUGGUUUAGUUUAGUCCUUUUCAUUUGGUUUGAGUGCACGCUAAAGUUUGGUACUGUCAGGUCGUACACAGGCUAAGCGAUCUGGGCCAGGUACUUGUAUGUGGAUGAGCCUUUUAUGGGCUUUCAGAGAGAUUGUGAAAAAAAUUGGGUCAAAAUAAAUAAACAUUAUGGGAAUUGAACACAGCUGUUAGGAUCUUUAAUGUAACAACCAACUACCUAUGCGCUAUUUACAUUUACAAAUCCCAACUCGCUCUAAAUAUACGAGUGGUGGCCCUCAUGUUUAGGGCAAGCUAAUUAAGCGAAUGAGCUAAUUAACGAAAGGAUUGUGGGCUUAAAUAAAAUAUUUAAAUAGAUGUGGCUAAUUAAAGAAAGGAUUAUGGGUAAACCGGUGAAAUAAUUGAAGAAAGAUUGUGGUCAUAAUAAAUAGAACAUUCAAAUAGAUGAGGCUGAUUAAAGGAAGGGUUUGAGAUAAAAAGGUGAUAAUUAGAAAGAAGGAUAUGUCGGUUUCAAUGUGUUGGGCUACUAAAUUAGAAAAAGAAAGAUUUGAUUCCCGACUAAAAGGGGUGAGGACGUCAUGGUAAUUAAAGGAAGCAUGAUACUUAAAUGAAAUUAGUGCGAGAUUAUGCUCGACAGAGAAAAUAUGUAAAGGGUAAAAUGCAUCGUAUUUUUUUAUGUUCAUUUUGUAGAAGGAUGCUGCGUUGCAACAUGUUCUUCAUAGUGAAUCUGGUGCUAUGGAACAUUAUGCUUGCACAAAACAUCAAUUUUUUUCGUUGCAACGCACGGGCUUGUGUGCUAGUCUAUAUCUAUAUCUAUAUCUAUAUCUAUAUCUAUACCUACUAACAAAGCAAGGUGAUAUUUUUGGUUUCGUCCCACGGUGAUUUUAUUUUCUAUUUAAGAUAUAUAUGCGAGGUGGUACUAAUUUGGGGACAUAUGACACACGCACGCACGUCCGUCGAGCACAACCCGUAUUGUGUCGUUGUGGCCCAUCUUAUAUCUUAGUUGUAGCCCGUUUAAAACACACACCCCGACGGGCUGACUGCAGUCCAGAAAAAUAGAAGGAAAAAAAUGCUCUCCAGAAUCGUACUAGCGAUCUCCAAUGUACUAAUGUACACGGCCAUGUGAGAUAAUGAGGGAAGGGUAAACUAAACGGAAUUAAAGGAGGACGAUGAAGGUUCUAGCACAUGGACGUUAUUAAAGGAGUUAGGAAGGCAAGGCUCCGGGCCUCCGGCGCAUGGCGUCCUUGAAUUAAGCGGAUUCAUCCAUAUUUGAAAAAAUAGGAAGAUUGACUCACGAUGUGGAUAAAUUAAAUGGAUUCAUUCCUAAUAAAAGAGAAUUAAAGGAGAUUAGGAAGAUGGGCGCACGACGUGGCCAAAUUCAAUGUACUUAUAUGAGUAAAAUCUACUUAAGCUAGCGGGAGCAACCUCCUGGACCUCCAUAGGAACAUUUUGCACCUUGGAUAGGUGAGAUAGAGUAACAACUACUCUUACUCUGUAACCUGUCUGUAUUCACAGUAAAAGGUGUCAUCCUGCCAUCUUCCCUAAUGAGUGAAAUAUCUGUGAUUAAUGCAGCUUUAUCAGACGGCAAGAAUCCACUACCCAUUGGAGGGGAUGGGAUAGACGGACUCCCCCCAACAACGCUACCAAUUGAAAUUUGGGUCGCUUUCUUCCAUAACUUGUCAAACAAUUUUGCUGGGUAAUAGCCCACUGGUGUUGGGGCCUUGUUGAAGCUGUAGUUUAUUCACCAAUUUCCCGUGGAUUUUUCCUGCCAUGAAAUAGAAGCAAUUUGAGUAAUGUAUGCCACAAAUUCAGCAACAUGUGAUUAGAUCAUUAUGAUCAAUAUGCUUACAAUUGGAAAGUAUACAAGCAAGAUAUAGUUAAUUACCCUAAACACUUUAAUUGUAAUCUUUUGACAUACACCAUGAACAUGAGAGACUGGUUGUAUUGUGCCACCUGGAGCGAUUUUUGACCCCUUAACAAGUUGGAAACCAGGGCAGUCCAUGUCAUAGCACCCUGUAUGAUAUGUGUCUCUCUGUUUCACACAAAGUUAUAUGGUCACUAGAUAUUCUAGCUUUGUGUGCUACAGUUGAGGAACAUAGUUUUUGAGUGAAAAGGCAGAAACAUACCGUCCAACUCGUGAAGAAGUGAGUAUGUGAGUCCCCAUAUUUUUUUGGGUCAACCUGGGAAGAAACUGAAGAGUCAUUAAGAGCAUUAUAAAUGGCAUCGAGUACGUCCAAAUUAAUGAUGGUAAGAUGGCUACAAUCUGUAAAAAUCAUAAUAUAUGUAAAUUACGACUUACUUGCCACCCGACCCAAAUUGCAUUGUGAUCUGUCUUUGGAUCACCCUCCAUGUUAGCAAUCCAAAUAGAUGUUAUGAUAUGACCAGCACUGAUAUUGUGUCCGUACACAUCCAUUGUAGCAGCAAGUCCAUAAUAGCUACUGGGACGUGUCCUAUGUGUCGCAAACUGUAGAAGGCAGAAAGUUAAAAACUUUGAAAGUGACGGUAAGAAAACAUUGGCUUGUUAAAAGUUCCAGGAUAGAGUGACUCACAUAAACGAUGUCAUUGGAAUUUUUUGAUGGAGAAGCAUGUGCAUACCAUGCCUGUAAGGCUUCAGAGUGAGUAUGCAAUCCAGAUAUUGCUUGUUCGGCUUUUGUUGCUUAAAAAAAAUAAAACAUGUGGAGAACAAAAUAUACAUUUUAAGGGAAAACUAAAUAUGCAUAGCUUAAAUAGUUAUAGCGGGUGACUGAAAAACCUUCCGUGCACAAAAUAUACAUUUUAAAGGUAAAACUAAAUACGCAUAGCUUAAAAUGAAACAUGUAGAGUACAAAAUAUACAUUUUAAAGACUAGAAAAUAAACUAUAAUGUGUAAAAUCAGCCAAUCAUGUACCAUGCAUCGAAUCUGAGAGGCACCAGCCCUAUGCCCAUGCCUUUGUGGCAAUCAAUCCGUGCAGAUUUGCCAUUCAUAUAAAAAAACCACUCAUACAUAGUACAAAGAUGAAAAUUAGGAAACUAAAAGAAAAUCCAGUUCGAAUAACCCCAGCAACUCCUAUACUCCAAACUCCUACACCUUCGCUAUGAGAGAAAUGGUUGUAGUUCAUCACAUAGUUGCAUUUCUCUAUUUUCACCUUCUUUUGGUACGGAUUAAUUUUUUUUCUAUAGAAUGAACAAUCCUUUCUAUUUUCACUACUAUAUCACCCCAUCCGUUUCGGAAAAAAAAACUACUAUAUCACCCCUUGGUUCGAACUACUAAUUACUCAAAUUUGUAGGAACAACACGUUUACCUUUCGGUUGGUUGGAUGCAAUCCACCUCCAUGGAUUUGGUGAGCAAUGAAAACAACAUAUAUGACAAGAAUAUGUAAUCCUAGAUUAAGUUUAGACAUGAUGAGAUGCAAGAUAAUUACAUGGGAUGAGUCCUUUAUAUAGAUGAAUUUCCAGUUUUAUUAGGGAAGAGUGAGUUCCAAAUCUCGCAAAUAAAGUGGUACAACUUAUAUCUUCACAUCUCUAUUAUUGAAUACAUAUGGACGGGAUGUAAAUGAAAGUUAAUAAAUGCGAGCAUUAAAACAAAAUAUUUAGGAAGGCAAAAACUUUGUCUUGUUAUAUUAACCGGAGAUCAAAUAACAACAAAGGACAAGUCCGGUCUAAUGUAAAUGAAAAAGACGAGUCUGGUCUUCUGCAAGCCAUUCAUUUCGGAAGAUAUAAAAGAACGUAUCCUCUCCCAUCCAAAUUAACUGUUGCUGUCUUAGUACAAUUUUGAAAAUCUCCAUGCAUGUAUAUCUGCAGAACACGUUUACGUUCUGGUUCCAUGGAAGAUGUGCAACACAAAUCUUCACAAAUAUGUACACAUAAAUGUAUAUGUGUACGCACUAGUUUUUUCAAUAUCUCACUGUAUCUCUAGCACUGAAUACAUAUGACAAGAUGCAAAUGAAAGAUAAUAAAUAUGAGCAUUAAUUUUUUUAAAAAAUUGUGAUAUUUUUACUAAAUUAGCCAAGAGCGGAUAUUUACAAGGGACGAGUUGUUUAUGUUGAUCAUUUUCUAUUAGCAAUUCAUUAAAAGAAAUGUGGAUAUCAAUCAAAUCUUCACAAAUGUGCACAUUUUUGUUGACACUAGUUUUCAAUAUAUAGCACAACAUACAUAUGGAUAUGGACAAUGUGUAAAUGAUAAUCAACAAAUAUGAGCAUUAAGUAAACUAUUUAUAAGGCCAAAGCUUUGUCAGUUACUCAGUUAUAUAAGUAAAGCAGAGAGAACAGUUAAUGAGUCCAUAUAGUCAAUUUCUACUAGUCAUUUAGUACAGAAGAUAUGAUUCUCAAAUCUUCACUAAUACUUGCAGACGAAUAUAUACGAGUCCCCAUUAGUUUUUCAAUAUUUCACACAACUGAUUUAUUUCUAUCUCUAGCACUGAAUACAGAUGGAGGUGUAGCCUGGAUAUCUGCAACUGCUCGUGCUCAAGCUGAAGCGGCAUCAGGAUUUUGGACAAUCCAGGAAUUGCCAACGGCGUCGUGAGCCAAGGACAGACUCGACUGACAGUGUUGUUGAAGAGCCAGUUGAUCCGACUCGAUCCUUUCCAGGUGUUGGACUGAUGUUAAGGGCUCCAGCGUGCAGGCUUUCAGAUUCAUGGUCCUGGUAACAUGUGACCGGAGCAUUUUCCCAAGGCUGUCCUGAUUUCCUUCAGCAUCUCGUCGAUCCCGAUGUGCCUCCUGCAAAGGGUGGGAAAACAAGGGAAAUGAGAUCUUGCAACGGCAGAAAAGAACAGCUUCUUGCAACACCGAGGAAAUUAAAGUGAAAAAUGUUCAAUUUCUACAACAUGAGGACAGUUGAAGCACUGCCCGAGAAAACUCGUGGUAUGAACAGCAAUGCAAGCACAAACUUAAGCAGAUAUCAAACAGGAACAACAGAUUAAGUACACUGCUUCGGUUCUUGCGGAUGCACGUAAAGCUCCGAGGAUUGUCGACAUGUGGUUGUUUUUCUUCUUCAAGGAAAUGUCGUCAUGCAUGCAGAUCAGCUUUUUUCCUUUAUCAAAACGCAUUGCCCCAACCACAAUGUCACAUCACAUGCAAGUAGAUCAGUACUGUCUCUGCAUGUUCCGCGGGCUCUCUAUCCUGGUUUGUACUUGCACUCUCUCUCCUGGCUAAUUUACACCAUAUGGGUGGGGAGAACGGGCAGCGUGCUGAAUGCAUGGCGCAGUACGCUUGUGUCACUGUGCACAGGUUAAGCAAAUAUCCAAUAUUAUGAGCUGUUUAAGAACACAGUAAAACAUGUGUUUAGUUGGUCAGGUGAGGAGACUUAGACUAGCCAUAAUGGGAGUAACUUUAGCAGUAACUUCGAAUCCAACUCAGCAAAUUUGCUUAUGUGGCAAUGAGUUAACGAGGAGAGAGGUACUUGUAGUAACUUAGCUAGUUACUGUAACAUCACAUGUCCCAAUGCAAUAUGAGUCUGUAACUUAAUAAAUGAAUCUUUGCUUGUUAUCACCCUUAAGUUACUACCCACUAUGAAGAUAAUAACAUAGUCUAGAGAUAUGCGUAUGUUACUAAUGUAUGUUACUAUCCAUUGUGGCUAGUCUUACAGUACGCUUGCACCGAUUGCAGCUUGAGGUCUUGGAUAGUCCCCAAGUUCCUUAUCAUCGUCUUCUGACAUAUGGUGUCUGCUGAAGUUUACAUUUAGCUUUUCUUUGCUGGCAUUCUUGUCGUCGCGUGCGUAUGAAUUCGCGUAGGUAGCGGGCGGUCGUGGCGGUUCUGUUGCGGCCUCGCCGUGACGAGCGCGUUGUGUGUGCGGCCUGGGCAAGCGAGUCGCCAGGCGUGCGUGCGCGCGCAGCGGAGGCUGAUCGCGUGGGGAGCUACGUCCCGUUAACUACAAAACUGGCCGCAGCUUGGUUUAGUUGAGAGAGUGUUUGGAUACAUUUUAGUCUCAUGACUAAAUGUAGUGAGAUUAAAACUUGCUAGCCUUACCCAUGCUUGAUUUCAAAUACUAAAGAGAUUAAAAUCAAGCUAAUGAGCAUUUAUUAUCCUCCAAACCCUCCAAUUCAGAACUCGCCUGUGUUAAAUGAGAGAAGUUAAAUGAGGAGAAAGAGGACUAAUCCACAUUUUAGUAGAGGUACCUCUAACUAAAAAAAUUAGUCUUAAGACUAGUUUUAGCCUUUCUUUAUUCAGGGGUGCUUGAAACUUUAGCCUUUUAAAAUGACUAUUUUCAGUCAGACUAAAAUAAGUUCCUUGGAUUCAAACACCCUCUGAAUUAUUAGUGGUUGGGUGUGAUGUGUGCAUGCAUGGGUUAGUGGCCGGAUCAUGUGUGGGUGCGUGCGUGUGCUGGUGUGUGUACGCACCUGAGUAUAAAGCCCUUCUGUGCUGCUCGUUGGUCGUUGAUUCGUGCCAGAGUUUGAGCUCUAUGAAAGAAGCGUCGUUCGUGCGGUGUGGCGUCCGUCGUCGGAAAAAAAUCCAGUGUCCUCCUCUUCAUCUUCUACCUCUGUUCAUGAGCAAGCGAGAGAGAGAGGGAGAGUGGGCUGGUCCAGGGUUUGUCCGAACAUGAACUUCUGAAACUAUUUAUGUGCAGAAAGCCAGAAAUAAAGUAGAACAAAGGCGCCAAUAUUUAUCGCAAUACAGCUUGAAACUGCUCCAGACAUGUGACGUUAGAGCAUGAUUAAUAGUAUAUCCAAUACUUUUUUUUUUGCGGGGCUGUAUAGCCAAUACUUGGCUAUAUGGAGUUGUCACAGUCAUUUAUAGCCAACCUAAUAUCCAUUCAUAUAAUAGUUAGUCAUACUAGUAUACUAUACCAUUAAUAUAUGGUCCACCACUUUCUCCCACAAAGGGUGUUAGAGUUCGUGCUACAGCCGGCUGUAAGUGUGUAGCCUGCUUCUAAUAUAUCUCCUCUUCUCUCUCCUCCAACUAGAUACACAUCUGAUUUGGCACUCUUAUAGCCCACAUACAUCACUUUAUUGUAAUUUCUCGUAGUUACUCUGUAGCAACACACGGAUAUUUAGCUAGGCAAUCUUCUUUAAUAAAAAAAACCCAUAAAAGGAUCUUUUAUUAAUUGGAUAAACUGUUACACACACAUGUAAAAGAGGAUUUAUGUCACAUUUGGAUGGAGUCUGUUUUGGCAUGGAGAUUGUAAUUGUCAAUCACAAUUUAGUUCACCAAUAAUUCUGUAAUAACAACAACCUUCAAGGUCACCUCAUCGACCUCUUUACCCGACUCCUCAUUGAACAUGUCUAUGUUGAUAUCCUCAGCACCGAGGCCCUCAUUCACGGAGACGCACCGCAUAAUGAAGAACUCGUCCUUGCACACCGUCGCAUGUGGCGCCCUCUUUUGCGCUUGCAGUGUUACCAUGAUAUUGCACUUGGAUCGUGGCGGCACAACACAUUUCUCCAGCUCUAUGCAGUAUUGCAGUGAGCCUGUCAUUUCGACAUCAAAGGCAACAUAAUCAUUGGUUAUGUUGGUUAGCUGAAGUGAACACGGUAUCGGCUUGUUUAUCUCGAAGGGAAAAUUCAGCUCAAGCCUAUCAAACUCAAGCAGCUCCCACGGGUAAGGGCUUAUCUGCAUGGAAAAAAUUGGCACUUUCAUAAGUACGUUUUAAGCUAACAGUGGAGUAAUCAAAAUUUUGGAGCCUACGAGCUUACCGGGCCAACUAGCGAGUCACCAACAUUGUUGAUGUGCUCAUUCGUAUUUUCCAAUGCAUUAAGCAUACUGACUAUAUCUGAUAUUUUAGGCCUCUUCUUUGGAGAGUCUAACAAGCACUUUAGCGCUAUUUCAAUGCAUUUAGUUACCUGCUGGUAUCCAAAUAGUGGAUAAUUCACUGAUUUAUUCCACCUGUACCUCCACCUUCUAAGUACCUAUCAUUUCAAAAAGGUUAUUUAUAAUGACCCAUAAAAAUGAUUUAUAAUGAUGACUUACACAAAACCACCAAAUAACAUCAACAGGAUCUCAGAUAUCGAGACUGUCCUCGAGUAAAUUGCUACCUUUUUCACCCUGCCUUAGCUUAUUGUUUGCACCAUGGGUUCAUGCUUGGAUUGUUCUUAUCAACCAAAUAAUUAGCAAUGUGAUCCAAAUAUUUGCGCCAUUAGCUAGAUUUGUGACUUGUUGUUACAUCAAUCUGUAGUUGUGCAUUUUUGUUACUUUAACUUAGAGAUGGUGAUACACCAUUAUGAAUGUGCACAUUCAAGAUUAUAUAAGAACUUGUAGUAAAAACACACCAUCAUGCACACAUUUAUUUGGCAUUGUUUUUUUCUUGGCUAUAGUUAUUUGCCUCCCAACAAACUUGAUUUAUCUCACGUUUCAUUAGCAUAUACCAUUCAGAAUACUAGGAAUUAUUACAACCAAUACGCGCAUCUUGAGAAAACAUUACCAUACUUGGUGAAAAUCUUUUCAUAAGUACAUUAUGUUGUUGGUAGGUAUUGUGUUAGUUAUAAAACAAGACUUUAGGCAUUGCAAUCUGUGGCUCGGCAUGCAAAACUAUAGUCCAAUACUAGUUUUAGUUUUCACUUCUCCACUUCUCGUGCAUGUAUUUGUGUCUAAUUUUUCAUCAAAUUCUUUCAACAAAUGUCACAUGAAAAAAUAAAUAUAAUCAUUCAUAAAUUAUACAUAAACCAUGUGCUUCGUUCCCUGCCUGCCUCACCAUUGGCCAUACUGCAUUUGUUUUCGUAGUUUUGCGCAAUCACAUGCCUCGAGAUGCUCACAUGCAUGCAUCUUGUUCUGAUUAACCCUGUCGACUGGCACAACUAAGGCGGUGUACAUGCCACUGUGUAUUCAUAAAAAAUACUGCUCCCUCCAUCCAAAUUAAUAGACGUAGCUUUAGCACAAAUCAGAGGGGGUACAACAUUCUGUUUGACUCACUCACGUCAUAAUUUGUUAUAUUUUAUCGUCCACAUAUUAUUCUGCACAACAGAGAAACGACAUAUUAUACCCAGCAUGAUUUGUUGCCUCUAGCAGACAUCGUUUUGCUUCCUUGUGAAAUAUAAUUGGCUGCAAACAUAGCACAUUUGCAUCAGCCCGCUAUGCACCUAGCUGAUUCGGGGGAAUCAUUCGCUUCUCUGUUCUAGCGCCGCUAACUCCACUAGGUGACCGAUGGCUGAUGCAUGCCUCCGCUCGUCUAUGUUCUACUCAUGUCGACCUCUUGUAUGUUAAUACAUCUGAGUCGUUUUAUGUUGAAGUUGAUUGUCUGAAACUACAUUGAUGUUAUAUAUCUAUAAGAAACUAUAAUUUUGCAUGCACAUUCAGGUUUGGGUUAUUAUCAUUUAUAUAUUCAAAAAGUAAUUUAUCUCACAUAGUUAUUUUGAAUUUUAGCUCAAUUAGGACUUCAUGUAUAAUUUGUAUUAAAACCAAAUUAUUGUUAAAACAAAUCGUUAAAGUUAGUAUGUAAAGUAGAGUUGCAUUGUUUCUCCAACUCAUCAGAGUCGUACUAUUUACUAAAAAACAGCGCCGUACUAUUUAGCCACCUAUUACAGGUUAUAUGCACUACUGAUUUCUUCAAAUAAACACAUUUGUUUACGUUUUUUUUGUAUAAAUAAUCACAUUCGUCUACAUCUUCAUAAUCUUUUUUUGUGAGAUACAUUUUCAUAAUCUUGACCUGUCACGAUAGAAAAGAAGUAUUUAGCUUUGUGGAUGAAUAUGGCGUACUAUAUUGUGAUAAUUUAGACUUGCAACAAUAGAAAAUACUCUACAAUAAUAUAAUAUAGAUUGAUUGAUUUCUUUGCCGGGCUUAAUGCUAAUGUAGCUAUUAUUCCUCUAAAUUGAUAAGAGGGUGGAAUAGUAUUUUAGCCAUAUUCUUUGAAUUACCGUUAUCUUGCAGAAAAGCGUAGAAGUAUAAUUUUAUUCAAACUUCAUGAAAAUAUACAUCAUGUAAUAUUCAUUCCAACUGUUGGACAUAGCCUGAUUUAUUGACAACAUGUCUUGUUUCAGAGCUACUAAUACUUGAUUUCGGUAUAGACGUAUAAUAUAGUUUGAAAUUUGAUCCAGUAUAUGCAGGAAUAGAGCAAGAUGUGGCUUCCAUUGUAAUUCUACCUGAAGUACUUGAAAAAGAGUAAGGUAGACAAGCUUGAACUAUGAGUCGAAUAAUCCUUACAUUUUGAAUGUCAAGGUUGCCCUUACAUCCAGUUACGAGUUCUGUAAUUAUAACUCCCAAACUGAAUAUAUCUGACUUGAUUGACACCUGACCAUGCUUUAUGAAUUCCGGAGCGCAAUACCCACUGCAUGAAAGUAUGAUCUAUAGUUAUAUUAUCUAUGAAACUGCAUGAAGAAAACUUUGUAAAAGGUGAGACAGAAAAGUGGGCUCUAUAUGUGCAAGCUUACAGUGAAAUUGCGGAGUUACUAGUGACAAUGUGUGUUACUCCAUCGAGUAGUUUUGAUAUACCAAAAUCUGUUAUUUUUGGUACCAUAAGAUCAUCAAGCAGUAUAUUGGCAGGUUUAAGAUCCCUGUGAAUAAUACCCUUUUCCUUAUGAAGAUACUCCAAGCCGCUGCAAAUUCCUUUAAUAAUUUGGUAACGGGUAUGCCAUUUAAGUCCCCUUAAUUCAUCUAUAUAAGCAAAACAGAGUAAAAGCCAGGAAAAUAAGAAUAAUAAGGAAAUUACAAUAAACUUCGUAACAUGUCACAUGCAUUUUCCUACCGGCAAGAUAUUUGUCGAGGCUUCCUUUGUUGAUAUACUCGAAGCAAAGUAAUCUUUCUCUUAUCUCUGCAAAAAUAAACUUUGGUGUUUCCCCUGGUUCUGGAUUUAUCAUCGCUUUACUCUCUGUAUUGGCACAGUAACCUAGUAACCGUACUAUAUUUUUGUGUUUAACACUGAUCAGGAAAGUAGCCUCGCGAUAAAAUGACUCCUCUUCGAUUGUAUGGCUGUUCAGAAGUCUUUUAACAGCAACGCUCCCGUUUUGAAGAUCACCCUAUUUAACUUGUCUUGUUAGCACAACCAAGAGCAUUUAAACCAAGUUCUGCUCUGCUGUGAUAAAACUUUUACGAUUGAGGAUUUUAGAACCUAAGAUUACCUUGUAAACGAUUCCGAAUCCACCACGACCAAUUUGUCGCGCAUCAGCAAAAUCCUCAGUGAUGUGUUGUAAAAGUCCUAGCGGCAGAUUCGUUAGCUCCACGCUUUCAUCAAGUAGUGUAUGCUCCAGGACAUUAGAUUCAGAUUUUAUGUCCACCCUGAUUACAGCAUGCACUUCCAUUAUCAGACCACAAAGAAAUUAAUUUGCUUCCUGAGCACUGUGAUGUUCAUUGAUGCAGGGUAAGUAUUCUUAGUUGAGAUUAUUUUAUUCAACUUAGCAUGACAAGUAUAUAUGCAACAAUGACGGCGUUAUAGAAUCCUAAGAUGAAGCUCAAGGAAGCUCUCAUGGUGAUGCUCACUGAGAUUCCGAAAAAAAAUUGCGCAACAAAUGCAUGGCACUUGCAUAAUGUUUCAAACAAAAUGCAUUGUCGAAUCAUGAUUCAAGACUGGACAGUCAGGAGAUCACUGAAGAAAUCCCAGAAGCAAUGUGACAUGUACCCUAUCAAUUGUCUUGGUAUUAGAGUGCACUUGCAUCAACCAUAGUUAUCACGUAGUACAUGCAGUUGAGCACUGGUGGGAGCUCAUCCUACCUUUCUCUCGAAGCAUCAAACAUUAUGUUGGCCAUACCAUGUAAAAUCCCAGAACCUCCUUCGACCUUCACAGAAAAUAAUAUGUUCGGUAAUUGUUUCUUGCUUAAAUCAACGUAGCAUGCAAUAGCCUACCAUAUCAAUCUUAUCUUUAACUUCCUACCGCUGGACAGUCCCAGGAAGUUAAUUGGUACCUUCUGUUUGAUUGUAUCCCUCUCUGGGCUAAAAUAGAUACCGAUUGCGUCAAUCACGUCUCCAGCAUUGGCAAAGAAGCCGACAAUACUACCAUUGCUCUUAGCGGACUUCGAAAACGAGUCCCGCCUCCAUUUCCAUAUGGUCCGUAGCUACCGGUAUUGGUGACAAAGUAAAGUGAUGUUACAACAUCUGAGUUUUCCGAGUUCCAGCCUACUGUUCCAGAAACUUCCAUCAAGAAAUCUGACUGGCCAAGGAGAAUCUACAAGUGAAGCAUAUUAAUUAUCAUCACGGCCAUAUGUAGAGAGGUAUAAUUAUUUGAGAUUAUAAGGAUGCAAUAAUGUUUCUUAUCUGUUGGUAGUGAACUAGUGAUCGCCAUUAAAAUUAUACUACUCCCUAUAUGCAUAUUAAACCAUCAGCAACGCACGGUUGAUAGAAGUUAUUAUUAAUAAGACUUGUACUCACCGUGUGAGAGCUCCCUUCUAGAGGAUUAGCCGUCCCUCCCCAUGGACCACCGGAGUGUUGUUGACCAUCGCAAUCACUAUAUGUAAACAUAAGUGAAUUGAUUACCCUACCGCUAUGAAUGACCACGCUUAUCAGACGUCGUGGCAACACAUCCACGUCACUAGGCCUCCCUGAACCACCACCCCAUGGCCCAAUUUUUGUAACCGGGUCCUGAGUGCAAAUCCGGUUCACGAAACUUCAGAAAAUAUUAAAUAGUCUGAAAAUAAAUGAACAAAACAAUUUAAUUGCAAGUCUAUUGUCACCUGUUCUUUCGUUGAUCCCCUGUCAUUUGGCUUCACAUAUACACCAAUUGCGUCGACCACCCUCCCAGUAUUAGCGAAGAAGCUAACGAUGCUGCCAUUGCUUAGCACUGGACUGUGAAAAGGAAUUCCUCCUCCUCCUCCAAAAGGUCCAUACCGACGAGCAUUGGUAAUAAACAUAACGGAUGUUACAACGUCAGAAGAAUAUUGCGUAGAGGAACCAGUUGUUCCAGAAACUUCGGCCAGAAACUCAGAGGGUCCUAACAGAAUCUACAAGUGGAGAAAAAUGGUAAUAAGCCAAGGUACAAGGGGGUAAGUUGAACGCACGCCUUGAAAUGGAAGCAUGCAAGUCCUGAAAUGGAAAGGAAGCUUGGCUACAUACCAAUGUAAGACGUUUUUUCACACUAAUGUGUAGUGUCAAAAAAAAGUCUUACAUUAUGGAAUGGAGGGAGUUGUUACUACAGUAUAUUUUAGAGAUAACUGCACUGGUGGUACACCAAUUUAUCCUAAAGGUUUGCUUUGGUUCACUAAGUUGCCAAACGUAAUGAACUAGUCCACAAACUUGUCAUGCGGAUAGAUUUGGUCCAAAUUGUAUCUGGCAGGGCUCGGCGUGACCACAUGGACUGCCAUGUUGGCAAAGGAGUCACACAUGGCACACAUGACACGGAGGAACUAGCCCGGCGACAUGUCGUCUCUACAACUUAAAAGGUGUCUAGGCAUAUUGGUCAAGGACCUAAGUGUGGGGAUGGCGACUGGCGAAGCCCCUAGCGAUGCGGGCGCUGCGGGAGCCCGGCCGCCGCCCUCCCCGUCCCGGCCCUCGAGCCCCGCCCCCCCGCCGGCGUCCGCCUCCCUCGCCCCCUCGCCGGUCCCUUCCUCCGGCUCUCCGCGGCUGCUGUGGGCCGACAUCGCCGAGGCCGACGACGUUGCCGCUGGCCGCCCCGUCGUGUGCCGGGAUCGUGUUUCCCCCAAGGUCCCGCCGCGGCCGCCACCUGACCCUGCCGGUGGCCUUACUCCCAGGGGUGGGAGUUCGGCCGCCCGUGGGUCGGGACGGCGCCGUAGUCUUCCUCCUACCGCCUCCCCGGCACAGGGGAUGCAAGNNNNNNNNNNNNNNNNNNNNNNNNNNNNNNNNNNNNNNNNNNNNNNNNNNNNNNNNNNNNNNNNNNNNNNNNNNNNNNNNNNNNNNNNNNNNNNNNNNNNNNNNNNNNNNNNNNNNNNNNNNNNNNNNNNNNNNNNNNNNNNNNNNNNNNNNNNNNNNNNNNNNNNNNNNNNNNNNNNNNNNNNNNNNNNNNNNNNNNNNNNNNNNNNNNNNNNNNNNNNNNNNNNNNNNNNNNNNNNNNNNNNNNNNNNNNNNNNNNNNNNNNNNNNNNNNNNNNNNNNNNNNNNNNNNNNNNNNNNNNNCCCGGCUCUCGCCUCCUGGAAACCCGCGACCACGGCCGCCCCCUCCUCUGCUCUGUCCUCCUCUGCGACGGCCGGUCCGACUCCGGCGAUCCCGCCCGAGCUCGCGCCGGUCCUCUCCCGUCGGACCCCCUUCCGGCCCUUCUUCCCCUCCCGUAGGUCCGCCGGACCACAUCCUCAUGGCCCCUCCACCGCCCCGCCUUCCCCUCGCCGCCCCCGUUUGCCCCCGCCGGCGGCCACCGCGGCGGUGCUCGGGGAAACCCUAGCGCCCCGCUUGGUCACCCCGGGACGGUCGUACCGGGCCGCUGUGAUCCUGGGCCGGCCCACGGACAUGGUUGCAGGCCCCUCCCUCAGGCUGGUGGGAGCGGGUGCGGCCCAUGGGAAACCGGCCUCGGCGGCUGGGGUGGGCCGGCUAGGCAGGCCGGAUCUGCCCCGCCUGGCCCAAUCUCGCCCCCUAGCGUCCGAGGGCCCGGUUAGGCGUUCCAUCUGGCCGCCCGUAGGGUUCCCACGCCCCCCUCUCCUCCCCCCUCCCGCGCCGCCAGCCCCCUGCCUCGCCCCGGUCUCUACCGCCCCGCCCCGACCCCUUCUCGCNNNNNNNNNNNNNNNNNNNNNNNNNNNNNNNNNNNNNNNNNNNNNNNNNNNNNNNNNNNNNNNNNNNNNNNNNNNNNNNNNNNNNNNNNNNNNNNNNNNNNNNNNNNNNNNNNNNNNNNNNNNNNNNNNNNNNNNNNNNNNNNNNNNNNNNNNNNNNNNNNNNNNNNNNNNNNNNNNNNNNNNNNNNNNNNNNNNNNNNNNNNNNNNNNNNNNNNNNNNNNNNNNNNNNNNNNNNNNNNNNNNNNNNNNNNNNNNNNNNNNNNNNNNNNNNNNNNNNNNNNNNNNNNNNNNNNNNNNNNNNNNNNNNNNNNNNNNNNNNNNNNNNNNNNNNNNNNUCCCCGACGCGCGACUCUCACCGCCCCUCCCCCCACCCCUCGCGCCGCUCGCCGGUCCGCGACGACCGUCGCUCGCGGUCCCCGACCCGCCGCUCCUCCCCUAGGGCGGAGUCCCGGGAUCGUGGGCAGUCGCCGGCCGGGGAGACGCGGCCGUCCUCGCGUCGGCGGUCCCCGUCGCCGACCCAUCGCCGGGACCGGUCCCGCUCCCCGCCCCGUUCCAUGCCCGUCGCCAAAUCCAACAACUCGCAGACCACACGGCGCUACCAACCGCCCCACACCCAGGCUGCGUUCCCGCCGUCUAAUGGCAGUAAUGGCAACCGGGGACGCCAGGGGCCCAAGAAGAAGAAGAAGAAGAAGAAGAAGAAGAAGGGCCCCCCGCGCCCUCAGGCUGCCGCAUCCACCGCCGCCGCAGCUCCCCCUCCGGGCUCCAAUGCCCCCACCGACGGCCCGCCGUGCUUCAACUGUGGCCUGACUGGUCACUUUCAGGUGGCUUGCCCCAAUCCCCCGAUGUGCUACCUGUGCAAGGAUUCCGGACAUCCAGCGAUUCUUUGUCCGGAUCGCCCGGUGACGGAGGAGAUCAUGAUGUAUGGCCACGGCAUCGAAGACAUGGCCUUCUUCCACAUCGAGGUGCCUGAGAUUCCCCCUCCCUCCCCCUUGCCGAUGGCGAUUGUGAUGGUCGUGGGCAAGGCCAUCGCCACCCUGGAGCUGCUGGAGGCCGAGCUCAACCACUUGUGCAGAUGCACGUGGGACUGGCAGGUGACCCCCACCGUCUCCAACGCCUUCUCUGUGAUCUUCCCCGACGCCAUGAGUAUGGGAUUCUGUACCGGCAGCAACAACAUCACCCUGGCCCUCAACGACAUUGUGGUGAACAUCUCUGAGCCGCGUUGGGAUCCCAAGGCCGUCGCUGUCCUGGACACUGCGUGGCUCCUCAUCUCCGGCCUGCCAGAUGUGGCCCGGUCUGAGCGAGUCAUCCGCAGCAUGUCGAAGAUCCUUGGCAAGGUGGUGGUGGUCGACGAGCUCUCCUUACGCAAGGAGGAGGAGGUCCGGGUCAAGGUGAAAUGCCUGGACUCCUCCAAGCUCCACGUCACGAUCCGAGUCUUCUUCAACGACGACGGCUACGACCUCAAGAUCUGCCCCGAGCCCCCGAACCACGUCGGCCGCCCCUGCUUCUCGGAUGAUAGCCACCUGGGGGGUGGCCCUGCUGAUGCCGACGACUCCCACCGCCGACGCUCACGCCACUCACGCCUCGACGACCCCGGAGAUGAUGAGGACGGCUCGGAGCACUCCCGCUCCCCCUCCCGCAAGCCAUCCAACCCACCAGCAGGGCGGGGUGGCUCCGGGGUGGGGCGCACUCGAGUGUCGGCCGCGGACCUCGCGGUGGCCCUCCGCUUGGCCACCCCAAUGGUCCGGCCCUCUCUGUCUCCAUCGGAGUCGGCCAGUGACAUCUUCAGUGUGGGGCUCCUCGUUGCCCCUCCAUCGUUGCCUCGCUCCCCCUGCAUCGUCUCCGCUCGUCGCUCCUCGCCACCGGGGCCGGACCCUCCUUCCCCCGCCGGCCCGACCUCCCCGGCCCCCUCUGGUGGAGGCGGAUGCGAGGUCCCCAUGGCACCUACCUUGCCCCCACCUCCCGCGGUGGUCGCGGCCGGUGCCAACCGGGAGCUCGCCGACCCGCCCGCUCCGCCGGCGGCCUCCGUCGGCCUCCUCCCCUCGCCGACCUCCCCGUCCGCCUCGGCAGGUGUGGACGUCUCCUCGCCGGCCUCCGCGCACCCCCCUUCGACGGUGGCGUACACCAGGCGGACCCGCUCCACCUCAACGCCGGUGACGUCCUCCCGCCGCAGCGCUCGCCUCGAGGCGGCAAGGCUGGCCGACUCUCCGGCGCCGUCCAUCGCCGAUCGCGCGGCGCUCCGCGCGGCGGUCCGGAACCUCGAGUCAGGUGCGGACUCAGACCUCCCCAGUUCCUCCAGUUGCUCAUUUUCCGCUCUUGAGGCCGCUCCACUUGGCCACCUCGCUAAGGUGGCCAAUGACUCGGCCAUAGUUUUCAGGGGGGAAGUUGGUCCCCCCUUAGAACAGAUCGCGGCCAUUAGGGCCAGGGAGAUCCUGGACGGCAAGCUUGCCGAGACCCACGCCCGCCUGCUUCGGCCCCCCGAAGGGACGCCCAUCCCCCACGCGGGCCUGGCCCCUCCGGUGGCCGACGGAAUAGUCCAUGGUCGCACCCGUUCGCGCACUGCAGCCCUCCGCGCGCAAAGCGCUUCCCGUGUUCUGGGGUCAAGCAGCCCCCCGAUGGGGGCUUAGAUGCGGGCCUUGUUCUGGAACAUCCGCGGCUUCGGCCAUGAUGGUCGUCGCCGCCAACUCAUAGAGUACAUCCGUGACGAAUGCAUUGACAUCAUCGCCAUACAGGAAACCUGGCGCACUGAGUUCGCCCUUCCGGAGCUUCAGCGCCUUAGCUCCCACCUCUUCGCUUGGCACUGGCUCCCUUCUAGCGGGACCUCAGGCCACUCUGGCGGCAUCCUCUUAGGGGUAAAGGAUGCCACCUUUGAGGUGGGUGGCAUGGACCGGGGCGAAUUCUUCGUUAGUAUGGAGAUCUACGAGCGAGCCCUAAAUUUCAAAUGGGAGGUCAUUAUUGUCUAUGGUCCGGCAGACCAUCGCCGCUCCCCGGCCUUCCUAACAGAGCUGCGGCUGAAGAUCUAUAACUCCCUCCUCCCAGUCCUAGUGGGCAGAGACUUUAAUCUCAUCCGAUCCCCGGAUGAGAAUAAUAAUGCCCGAAUCAACCUCCCUCAGAUGCAACUAUUCAACGAUUGGAUCGCGGAGCUGGGGCUCCGCGAACUUGAUCGGACGGGUGCCAGGUUCACCUGGACGAACCGUCAGAUUGUCCCGACACAAUCCGUGCUGGAUCGUGUCCUAGUUUCCCCGGAAUGGGAAUUACGCUGCCCCCUUGCUUCGCUCCGGGUGGUCACUCGGAUCGGGUCCGACCAUGUCCCCCUCCUCCUCUCCACCGCUGACGAGCGGCCCCCCACCGCGCCGCGUUUCCGGUUCGAACCCUUCUGGCUCAAUCAGACCGGCUUCCGGGAGGCUGUUAUCGCCCGCUGGAUUUUUUCCCGCUCUGCUCCUCACCGAUCCAUGUCCGCCAUUGAUUCGUGGCAUUUCUGCGCCAAGCUUGCCCGCCAAUUCAUGAAGGGCUGGGGGGCAAACCUUGGCCGGGAUCUUAGAGAGCGCAAAAGGCCCUCCUGUUGGCUAUCCAAGCCUUGGAUGCCCGCGCCGAUUCGAUAGGGAUCUCCCCGGAUGAGUGGAUGCCGCGUUACGACCUAGAGGACCAGCUAUCCAUCAUUUACACCGACGAGGAAGCCUACUGGCGCCUUCGGGGCACCCAGCGGUGGGUCCUUCGGGGCGAUGCCAACACCGCCUACUUUCAGGCGGUGGCGAACGGCCGGCAUCGUCAUAACUCCAUCCACUGCCUAUGGGAUGGCGACACCCCUAUCGUUCUCCCCUCGGCCAUUCGUACCCAUGUAGACGGCUUCUAUAAAGCCUUAUUUACCCCCACCCCGCGGGGUGGGGCUAGUCUGGCCCUCGACAUUUGGUCGGGUGCACAAUUGGUCUCGGCUGAGGCCAACGCGGCAUUAGUGGCCCCCUUCGAUGAGGCCGAGGUCCUCGCCGCCAUUAAGGGGAUGAACCCCUCCUCGGCCCCGGGUCCGGAUGGUUUGCCCGUGCCGUUCUUUAAAACGUUCUGGGAUACCAUCAAGCCGGAGGUCAUGGCUCUGUUUGAAGAAUUCUAUACGGGCUCUAUGGACCUUGGACGUCUCAACUAUGGGAUCGUGACCCUCAUCCCCAAGGUCCCGGGCGCCUCGGAUAUUCGCCAGUUCCGCCCAAUCACUGUGAUCAACGUGAUCUUUCGGAUCCUGGCCAAAGGGUACGCCAAUAGGGUGACCCUUCUAGCUGACACGAUCACCCAUCCAAAUCAAUCCGCCUUCAUACAAGGCCGAUUCAUUCUCGAUGGCGUGUUAGUCUUCCACGAGGUCCUACACGAGGUCUGAGUAAAACGCCAUCGCGUGGUCUUUCUAAAGCUAGACUUUCAUAAGGCCUAUGACACGGUCCACUGGCCAUUCCUGCGGGAUGUACUGCUUCGCAAGGGCUUCGACGAUCGUUGGGUGACCCGCGUCAUGCAGCUUGUCUCUUAUGGCCGGACCACGGUUAACAUCAACGGGGACAUUGGACCCUACUUUCCCACCCUCUGUGGGGUACGUCAAGGUGACCCCUUCUCACCGUUCUUGUUCAACAUGGUGGUCGAUGCCCUGGCAUCCAUCUUGGAUAGGGCUAAGGCUGCUGGCCAUAUUCACGGCUUAGUCCCCCACCUAGUAGGAGGGGGAGGGGUCUCCCUCCUACAAUAUGCGGAUGAUACCAUUAUAAUGGUUGAGGGAUCCGCACUAGAUAUUACUAACCUGAAGUUCCUCCUCCUGUGCUUCCAACAAAUGUCAGGCCUAACCAUUAACUUCGACAAGAGCGAAGUGAUGGUCCUCGGGCUCCCCGUGGAGGAAGCACAGCACAUCGCUAACCGACUAAACUGUCGGCUGGGUUCUUUCCCCACGACCUAUCUGGGGAUCCCCAUUAGUGAUUCGCGCCUCACCAUGGCUGAUCUUCGUCCCACGGUGACCCGUCCGCAACACCGCGUUGAGCCUUGGAAAGGGCGCUGGCUAUCUAAGGCGGCACGUGUGAUACUUAGCAACUCUUCGCUUACUAGCCUCCUUUGGUUCCUCAUGAGCUUCUAUAGCCUCCAUGAAACCCUGCACCAGGAGAUUGCCAAAUACCAAUCCAGAUUCUACUGGGCCGGCGAUGGGGAUAAGCAGAAGUACCACAUGGUCAGCUGGCCAGAUAUAUGCAAACCCAAGGACCAGGGCGGUCUUGGGAUUUUGUCCGCCCGGCGCAUGAACAUUGCCCUCCUGACACGUUGGCUCUGGCGCAUUGCCAAUGGAGAUGGAGGUCUCUGGCUUACGAUAAUCCAGAACAAGUACCUGCGUGGACAACCUCUCGCAUUUUGUCAGCGCUCCGGCGGCUCCCAGUUUUGGCAAGCCGUCGUCCAGCUGCUGCCUGUUUUGCGCAUUGGCACUUCCAUCUCGGUGGGUACUGGGUCCUCGACCCUGUUCUGGCUUGAUAGAUGGCUGGGAGACACCCCACUAGCUGCCCGAUUUCCAGUCCUCUUCGACAUUGUGGUAGACCCUCGGGUCUCUGUCGAGACGGCCCUUAUUGACUUAGGGCGCCUCGCUUUCUGCCGCCCCUUCGGCCCCCUUGAGAUUGCGGCUUGGGAUGCCCUACUCCAGGACAUCGCCCUCCUGCCGAUAGACGUUACCGACUCUCCGGAUGCCAUAUCCUGGCGACUGGAACCCUCCGGCCGCUUCUCCACAAGAUCCCUAUACGCGGCUAUCGCUCCAUCGACGGCCCCCGAGCCCUUCAGUUUGAUUUGGGACAUCCGCCUGCCCCUGAAAAUCAGGAUUUUCCUGUGGCAAUGGAUCCGCGGCCGCCUCCCAUUCGGUGUGGAGGUCCUUAAACGCCACGGACCUGGGGAUGGAAUGUGCCCCAUGUGCGGCACGGUAAAGGAUACCAACCACAUCUUCUUCUCGUGUUACAUGGCACAGUUCCUUUGGUCCUGUUUCCGCGAAACGGUUGGGGGCCAGUGGCGCAAUACCAACGUUCCUGACCUGCUCGCGGAAAUUCAGGCAUCCCCCCCCCCUCGCUACAGGCAUAUUAGAUGGCUUUGCGUGGGGAUCAUUGCCUGGACGCUAUGGACUGUCCGCAAUAAGCUAGUCAUCCAGAAGGUGCCUCUUCGGCGUGCUACUGACUCCACCUUUAAAUUGUGUGGUUACCUGCAGCUCUGGCGGCCGCUUAGCCGCCCACAGGACCGGGACGUCAUCAGCACCCUCCUCGCCGACCUGCGUUCGAUGGCCUUCCGCCUGGCGCCCCCGCUCCCCCCGCCACCUCCGGAGCCAGACUAGACUCUUUGUCUCUCCCGGCGUGUGUGCCUUUUUUGUUUUUCUUUUAGGGCUUGUUGAGCUGUGCCCUCAGCACUAACCCUUUCGUUUCUUGUUGUCUGGUACUUUCGUGUGUGUGCGUGUGUGUUCUGGAACCUUGUUGGAUGUUGGCUUGGGCAUUUGCUUUAUAUAUAAAGCGGGGCGAAAGCCUUUUUCGGUAGUCUCUACAACUAGGCCCCUCUCUUAUCUCCUUACCUCGUUUUUGGUCCAGCACUAUUCAUCUUUCUUGAAUUAAUCCGGACGAGGAAAUUGCUAGCUAGUGGUAGCAAAAGGGAAUAGAGGACACAAUGCUUCUCGAACCUAUUGGAAUAAACCUCGGCACAAUAUUUGCAUAAGUGUGUAGUUGCAUAUUUAAACUUGAUGAGUAUAUUUACACACUUACUGUAUCAAAGCUCCCAUAAGAAAAGCCUGCCGAAGCUCCCCAUGGACCUGCAUGGUGCUGCUUGCCGUUGUUGUCACUGUACGAAAAGGCAAGUGAAAAUACAACGUCUCCACUACGGAUUGUGAUGCUGUUCAAACAUAGAGGUGCCACCUCGAUGUCCUUAUAGUUGUGAUUAUUAGCUCCCCACGGCCCAAUCUUCGUAAUACAUGUCUAAGGGAAAAUCAAUGAAGCAUAAAAUUAAACAUGACUAAUUAUGAAUCUCUCCUACUUAAAAAUACGUAAGGUUCUGUCGCCCACCUCGCCCUUCGUCCAACAUCCCCCCUUCCCUCUCGUCUUCUAUUUAUUUACCAAAUAAAAUAAUGUUUUUUGGCAAGACAAUAAGUGAUUACCAAAUAAAAAAAUCCUAAAAUUUACUUAGAUAGGUAAAUCAUGGGAUGAUUUGAUAAACAAUUAUUUAGACAAUCACACUAAUAUGGAAGGUAAUAAUUGGCUAACAUACUAUAGAAUAUUUACACCCGUUGCAAUGUGCGGGCAAUUAUCUAGUACUAAGUAUAUUCCACUAUUAAAUUUGUUUGGUUUGAUAUCUGAUUGAAAAUCAUGUUCAACAAAUAUGUAAAUAUCAGUUCAUUAAAUCUUAGUGAAAAUGGACCACGAGGGCUAAAAAACAAUUUGGAUGAGAGACCAGUGGUUGAUUUGCAUCCCCAAUAUGAGGUAUCUCACCAUAUAUGGCUCCUUUAUAUCACCUUCUAACUUUGUGUUGGCACAUGGAGGUCCAUCAUUGUCCUACAAAGUUCAUUCACCAGUGUCAAUGUAUCACAUUUAAGGGUUUGGUUGUCAUCCAAAAACUUAGGGUGGUUAGGAGUAAGGGGGCGGAUCGUAAUUUUCUAAUACCAUAGUUACCGGAAAAUACCGUCCAUUUAGAAGAUGAAAUUUCCAAAGACUUUUUAUUUGAAUCGCCUUUGGCUAAGAAGAAUGUUUAGAACCAUACAUGUGGUACCUCAUCGAAUGGUUCGAGCGGUCACUGCUUUGAUGUGGAGUCUAGGGUUCAAAUCUUCAUAUAUGACCAUUUUUUGUUUAACCACCUUACCAUUUAGGCAGCCAGACUACACAACCUCAAGAAUACCGGGUUGGCUGUACCGAUGCACUACCAUACAUGUUGUCUAAUAGGCCAUGACCCUUUAACUAUAAUACAGUUUGAACCAAUNNNNNNNNNNNNNNNNNNNNNNNNNNNNNNNNNNNNNNNNNNNNNNNNNNNNNNNNNNNNNNNNNNNNNNNNNNNNNNNNNNNNNNNNNNNNNNNNNNNNNNNNNNNNNNNNNNNNNNNNNNNNNNNNNNNNNNNNNNNNNNNNNNNNNNNNNNNNNNNNNNNNNNNNNNNNNNNNNNNNNNNNNNNNNNNNNNNNNNNNNNNNNNNNNNNNNNNNNNNNNNNNNNNNNNNNNNNNNNNNNNNNNNNNNNNNNNNNNNNNNNNNNNNNNNNNNNNNNNNNNNNNNNNNNNNNNNNNNNNNNNNNNNNNNNNNNNNNNNNNNNNNNNNNNNNNNNNNGGGGGUAUGGUCAAGACUCAAUAUAUUCGAAAAAAGUUAAAAACCAAACCGUGCAAUACUACAAGAGUGGAUCAUGAUAUGAAGGCCCAUAAGCUGAAGUACACAUUGGUGUUGAUCACUGUUGUAGCCCAAUAGGACGACACAAAAUCCACAUCGGUCAAGACCAUGGAUGUAACAAUUAAUGUUCGGGAAUCUUAUCUAACUGACGUUCGUUGGGACAUGGUGACAUUUCAAACAUUUUUUCUGGUAAUUUUAGUUGUGUCGGGGGUGGCAUUUUUUCAGAGCGACAUGACAUUUUCUUGGGAGGAUGGCAGUUUUCAACCUUCAUUCCGGAAAAUGUCAUGUUGUUCUAGAGAAACUGUCACCCCACACAUAACUAAAAAUGCCAUCAAAACAUUCACAAAUGCACUCCUCCUGGCGAAUGUUCGCCAGCUAAGGGGGUCCUUAAUGUUUAUAUAGGUAUUUUGAUGCAUUUUUUUAUGCUUAACAAUAUAUUUAAUAGACUAGCAAAAAGGCCCGUGCGUUGCAACAGGAUAUGCAUGUCUCCUUUUUACCUUUUUCAUGCAUGUCCUUUUUUUUUCUUAUAUAUAGGAGAAUAGCGCAACAUCUCAUCUUUAUCAGAUCUUCUCUGCAUUGUCUCUUUUAUUUUUUUAUAGUGGGCAUCACAUUUUUAUUGGGUCCUUCUUUUAUUUCUUGUCAUGCAUAUCCUUAUUUAUUGGGUGUCUCUAGCAAAUUUAUCUUCUAUUUCAUGUCCAAUCCUGAUUUUGCUGAGGUGUUCAUCCCGAAUCUAAAUCAGUACUGGUAUGAAAAAAGAUGAAUAAUGCAUUGUUUAUUAACAUUGCAGCCUAGUUAGUUUUUUUUAAUUUUUAACAGGUAAAAUAACAUCAUAUUUAGAUUCUACAUAUUUUUCUAAUCAAAUUCCAUAUAUAACAUGUUAGAUUUAAAGUUACGGUUUACAAGAUAUGAGUAUUAAAAAAACAGUUGAUAUGUACUGCAGGUUUAAUGUCAAAAAUAUCAGGGGGUUUUCUAUAAAAUAGCAUGACGGACUAAGAAUACCUAUUUCUUUUAUUAGAAAAAAUAAUCAGGGGGGUUUCUACAAAACAGCAUGACGGACUAGGAAUACCUAUUUCUUUUAUUAGUAGAUAUAGAUUAUAAAUUUAUUUCGCCAGGAUCUUCAUACUAACUAAUGCUCAAUCACAAUGGCUUGACGGUGUCAUAAAUCAGCUGAUAUGGUGGAGCUAGCAUAAACUGCUACGUUGAUUCAUGAUGUAUAACCCAGGUGGAUUACACGACCUGCCGAGAAGGUGUGGCCACCAGCCAGCAAAACAACGCACGGGAUGCAGUACAACACCUUGUUCUUUGGGGUUUUUUUUUUCGGGGAUUGUUCUUUGGUCUUUACCAGUGUUGUGUUUUAAUCUCUUUUUUCCCAUGGAACUGAUUUUGCACUUUAUUUGCUAAAGGAAUAAGGGUAUAUUGCUAGACAAGUUUGGAGUUUGUUUCAGUACUCCUGGGCUCUUGGCUUAUAGAGUGAUAGAUCUCAAACUGCUAGCCGGGUCCAUGUCCCGAAGUUUUGUUUACAAUUAUGGACUGGUUCAGGCCUAUUUAAAGAUAAAUUGUUUAAUUUAUGAGAUUGCGAAUAUAAAGUUAUGAUCAAAUGGUUUUAGGCAGUGGUGACAGUAUAUUUACAGAAAUGUAUACCAUUCUAUUGUCAAAAUAGACGAGUGUGGCACUGGUGAUGCACGCUGUUAUAGUCUAAUUUGUAAUAUGAUUAGGAGAGGUGUUAGUACGGAGAGUGACACUCCAACCUAUUUGCUUCCACUGCAUACUACUCCCUCUGUUCCAUACAUUUUGUCAGAGUUGAUUGUUCCAUAAAUCUUGUCGUAGUUGGUUUCCGACCAACCAUAAUAAGAAUUAUGGAACAGAGGAAGUAAUAAUUUUUGUAACCAAAGCCUAGCGACAGACAUCCAAAAGAAGCUUAAGUGCACAUGGACCAACGAAGGCUCAAAUAAAAAAAAGUUUCUACAAAAGAAAUCAAACAUAAAGAAAUGAACUAAAAGCAUCAUAGCUGCGGCCAGUAAUAUGAAUAGGAGGAGUACCUUGAUUUCCAUUGAUUCGAGAUAGAAACCAAUUGCGUUAAUAUGCUUCUCAGCCUGGGCAAAAAAGCCAACGAUGCUAUCAUUAUCCUGCACCGGAAUGCGGAAAGGAAUCCCCCUCCCUUCUCCAAAAGGUCCAUGGCUCGAAGUAUUGGUGGCGAGCAAAAGUGACGAUACAAAAUCUGGAACAGAGGAAUUCGGACCAAUUGUUCCAGAAACUUCCUUCACUACCUCUGAACGGCCAAGCAGAAUCUACAGAAGACGAAAAAAACAGUUGUAAACAAAGCAAAUGUAAGGUGUGAAUGCAUACAAUAUACUCCCUCCGUUUUUAUUUAGUUCACGUAUUAGCUUUGGUCAAAGUCAAGCUUUGUAAAUUUUGACCAAUUUUAUAAACAAAAAUAUUAACAUAUACGAUAACAAAUCAACAUCAUUAGAUUUAUUAUUGAAUGCACUUUCACAUAGUAUAAAUUUGUUAUGGUAAAUAUUUAUAUUAUUUUCUAUAAACUUGGUCAAACUUUACGAAGUUUGACUUCGGUCAACUUUAAUAUGCGAAGUAAAUAAAAACGGAGGGAGUACAUUUUGUAUACUCGUGUGAGUAUGUACUACCACCAUGAGCGCCCACAUCUGGAGUUCAUGCUCCAGUGAGCUUGGAUUUUUUUGAAAGUUAUAUUUUAAAACUCUAAAAAAUAUGGAAAUAAUUACAUGUACAUAUUGACGUAUUCUACAUAUUUCUAUUAUUUCAGUAAUAAAUAGUACUUUAAUCGUGUGAGAUACAUCAGAACAAUAUUUUUUUGUGGAUUUUUUAGAUAUGCCACAUAUGCUAUGUGGUGAAUAUUUUGCUGGAUUUGUAAUAGUGCAUCUAAUAUUUGCUAUUUCAGGUCGAUAUAUUAUCUUUUCUAUGUACCCAUGUACAAAAAUCAUCAAAAAUUAUAGGUAUAUUCACACGUUUGAAAUUUUAAAAAGGUAUAAUGCAUACACACAUGGGGUAUAUAAAGCUUGGGAAUGCAUACUUAUGAAUAUAGAUGAUGUUAUACAUUGAUUAACAUAAGCUAUAGACAAAUAAAUUUUCGCUUCCUUAUGGCGACAAAGUAAUGUUAGGACCACUGACACUGACCAUAUGAUUGUUCAUACUCUGAGAUGCAUCCGAUCCUCCCCACGGACCAGCAGUGUGCUGAUGUCCAUCGCAGUCGCUGUACGUAAACUUGAGUGAAUCAAUUACCUCGCCACUACGAACUACCACGCUUAUCAAACGUCGUGGUACCACGUCCAAGUCAUGCGCCUGCCCUGAAUUACCUCCCCAUAGACCAACCUUGGUAAUCAAAUCCUGAUUGCGAACCAAUGGAUGAGAAAACCGAGAAAAUAUUAUUAUUUUUUGGAAUAAGGGUAUACACCCAGCCUAUGUAUUUUUUUAAAGUGGUUAAAUCAAAUAGGACUCAUUGCAAGUAAAUUGGUACCUGUUUCUCCAUUGGUCCUCUCGCAAGGUUCACAUAGAGGCCGAUUGCAUCAACAACAUGUCCAGAACGGCCAAAGAAGCCAACAAUACUAGCGUUGCCCAUGAGCGGACUACAAAAAUGAGUUCCUCCUACUCCUCCAAAAGGUCCAUAAUUACGGACAUUGGUGAUAAGCGUAAGUGAAUUUAUAAUUUUGCUUGCAUAUUGGUUAGAAGAAUUAAUUGUUCCGGAAAUCCCCGUCAGAAACUCUGCUUCUCCAAGAUCAAUCUAAAAGAAAAAAAUGUAUGCCCUUAAUUUUGUAUUGAAAGCAUAUAUAGUUUGAAAUUUGGUGGUGUAUCCUCUUCUUUCUCAAUGAAUAACAUGCAGCUCUCUUGCAUGGUUAAAAUAUAUAGCUUGAAAGAGAUAUUGAUACUCACCGUACUAAGGAUGCCAUCAGUUAAGUAAUCGCAAACUCCCCAUGGGCCUGCAUGGUGUUCCAAUCCGUGUUCGUCAUUGUACGAAAAUUCAAGCGAAUAUAUGUACCGUCCACCUCGAAUUGUUAUGCUGUUAAGACAUAUGGGCUCCACCUCGAUAUCCCUGUUACUGCCUGCAUGGUGUUUCAAAAAACUGUGAAGCAUAGUUGGUUUUUAUUAAUUGGAAAAAACAUGAUAGAUAAAUAUGCUUAGUUCAGCGAGUGAAUAUAUCACCAGUGAAAUGGUUGUGUGCAGAACUUAUAUUUUCUCCAUUGCCCCCUUGAAAUAUGUGUAUUUAUGAAACAUUUGAUGGACAUUAAUCGUGGUAUAGUAUGUACAUUUAAAAAAAUGCAAACAUAUAGUCGCAAAGACUUUGUACAAAAAAAGUAUAUGGUCAUAUUUUGCACCAGAAUUACAUUUGAAUAGUAUAACAUACAGGACUCGGGUUGUACAAAUUUGUAUUUUUGUCGAAGCAAGCAUAUAGUCAUAUUUUGCACAAAAAUUGGCACGCUUUUCGAGUGUGCUUGGUUGCAUGCCAAAUAUUGGCUUUUCAAUGUUCUGGCAUACCAACAUUUGGCAACUCAUUGUGGCAAUUUUGAGAGGUUCGAAAGAUAAGUUGGCUGCUGACCAAUCGGUGGCCAAUUGUUUUGGAUUGCCUGCAUAUAUUUUUUUACACCAGACUAAGCAGCCUCUUAAUAUUAAAAUGAUAUUUCAUUGUGUCCAAAAUAGUUUAUAAGUUUUUGAGUAUCUGUUCUCCCGGAUAAUAAAACAACCCAAGGCCGGUCCAUGAACAUCUAACUACAUUAAAAGGAGGAAUGCCCCACCAGUUUUAAAAAUAUGAUUCCACAAAAAAUCUAGAUGGAGUUAUGAAGGUCUAAUGGUUGUGCUAAAUUGAUCUGCUAGGCGAAAUGACCGGAUGUUCUGCUUUUGUGAGAAUUUCUAGCGUCGUCUCAAUGUUUCUUCUCCAUUAUGUUGUUACUACAUUCUUUUGCCUUUGCAGCUAAUAGUUAACCAACAUGGGUGUGCAGAGAAAAUAAAAGUCACAUUGCCUGGUGGUGGUGGCAGAGAAGCGAAAGCAAGGAAAAUUAAGGUUUGGGUUACGGUUUACAUGCCCCUGGCAUGGGAGCGAUGGGAGGCUUCUGAAGAUCAAGCAUUUUCCUGGAUGAUCAAAACGUGUAACUAGUGUGCAUACAAGUUUUAGUGAUUCACCCGCAAAAGAAAUACAAGUUUUAGUGAUAAACUAGUUUUGAAAAGUUAAGUAACAAAAACAAAUACAUCAUACUAAUUCGCUAAACAAUUGUAAUGGUAGAGGAUGUUUGGCCCUGAUAUUACUAAUGACUUUAAUUAAUUCUUACCAAGUUUAUGCCCCUGGUAUCACCUUCGAUCUUUUGGUCAAUGAUAUCACCUUCAAUCUUUUGGUCAACAAGUGCAGCCUCAACCAUCGUUCUACAAAAGCAAACCAUGAACAACGAUAUCAUAAUGAAUUUAUGCACACACACACAAAAAAAAAGUGACUGUAGACGGAUUUUUGUGGGGUGUAAGCUAAAGUAAAGCUAAAAAUAUACACAUCCCUCAAGGAGGGCUCGUUGCAGAGGUGACGAGGUGGGCGUCCAAGUAACUCUUGCCGUCAUUGUCAUCUACCCAUCUCGCCGCUGCCAGGAAGCAUCGCCGGGCAAAGCCCGUGCGGCGCCGCGGUAGCGUGGAGGUAAGAUUUGGGGGGCGGGGGCUCAUGUGGAAGUGUUCGAGGGUUUUGUGGGACGGGGAAGGAGAGUGUUCUCGAGCAACAGUCUUCAUUGAGUGGUGAGCGAUGGCGGCAUUGAUGAAACCGUGACGAUUGAAGGGAUCCAGCAUGGUAUUCUGCAUAGCUGGUCCGUCCUGGCUGGAUCAUCGGAGAAGAGGGUGUCAGUGCAUGGUUCUGGAUGGCGGCAAGCACGACAUCAGACCCGGACAUGUCAUAAAAUGGGUAAAAGAUCAGAUUUUCUUUAAAUAGUCUUUGUGUUUGGUUUGGAGUGGCGAAGCGGCGAUGUUUACCCAUGGUAGGAAUUAUGUUCUCCCAGCCCUAUCCUUGUUUCUUUUCAUCAGCAAAUGUUGUGUGGAGCUGUGUCUCCAGCAGAUCUUCCGGGAUCCAAUCCGUUUAGGUUUUUGGUGAAUCCAUAUGGAUUCGGUCGGCUUUCAUGGUCUUCAGAGUUUCUACAUGUCCUUAUUGCAUAUUUUCUCUAGGACAGUGAUUUUCUUCAUAGAUCACGGCCACUAGUGUCACCUGGUAUGCAUUGACGACUUCGCGGAUGGUACUUCUACAAGCUUCUGGGUUUCAAAAAGUUUGCCCCAUCGAAGCGGAGGCCUAGGGGUGGCAUCGAGCUAUGCCUUUGCCUUCCCUGCAUGCUUUAGUAAGUGCGGGAGACGGACAUAAUGAGUUAUGCAUGCCUCAAAGCAACCCUUGGCCUUCCUGAGAAGGAAUCCCUAAAUCGGUCAUUUUCUGGAGCCAGGCUAAGGCGAGUUAUGCAUGCCUCUUCCCCGCAUGCUUUAGUAAGUGCGGGAGACGGACAUGACGUCUCGAAUCCAUCGUAACUCACACCCCUCUCUCCCUUCAUCGACCAAACCCCAUUCACACCUUCUCUCUCACACACACUGUCGCUUCGGUCUCACUGAUGGCCGCCCCACCACCACGCCGUCUCAAUCCUUGACCCGCCGACGCUGCCAUGAGAACUAGCUCACCGCUGACACAUGAGCGAGGGGUCCUAUGACCCAACAUAGGUAUGGAGGAUAUUGUGGGACCUUCCCCCAUCUGCAGCAAGCUGCGGUCCACGACAAUCAACAGCCCGUCGGUGUUCCUCACCACGCCUGCAGCGGUAGCUACUUUGUCUGCUGAUGUGGCAGGGAUGGGGGUUGCGGAUGCCGACACAUUGACCAUGAUAGGGGUGGGGACUUCGGUAGUGCCUGCCAGGCCAUCGGCCGCAGGAACGACGAGGAUGUUGUCGCUCUUCCCACCAGGAUUUGCUCCCGCUCCACCUCCGGCGAAUGUUGUAAGUACAUUUGAUUGUGCAUAUCUGUUUUUUAGCUGUUAGGGUUUUUUAGAGUGGUUGUUGCUUCGGUUCGAUCAGAUUAGCAUCGAUUGUGCAUUGGUAGAAAUGUUCAUGUCACGAUAAUUGCUAGGAUUUCCUAGAGUACCACCGACUGUGCAUUGGUAGCAAUGUUCAUGUCACGAUGAUUGCAGUGAAUGCCUAGAUUAACAUCAAUUAUGCAUUCGUGGCAAUGUUCAUGUCUAAACUGAUGCGCAUUGGUGCCAUUUCAUGUCUAGACCAUAGUAUGUGUGCAUGACUAGAUUGAUUCGUGUAGAUUUGCUACACUUCGCACCGACCCUGGUAGAUUGAUUGCUAUCAGUGUGCAUAUGUAGAUUGAUUGCUAGGAUUGCUAUGUACCUCCAAGUCCAUAAGUACUGUCUUCCUAAGAAAAAAAUAGAUAAAUUUUCAUCGUGUUUUAUGAUAUGGAGCCACUACCACCUCCUGUUCUUCAUCGGGAGGCCUAAUCUGGAGUCUGUUCUGGGCUCCGGAGAGGGGAAUUCGUUGCUGCCGUCAUCAACAACCUCAUGAUGCUCACUACCAGGAAUGAGUAAUUUCAUCGUAGGCAUACUGGAGGUAGAUGGAGGUAGAUGAGAUUUGUCAUGUAAUCGAGUCAAUUUAUUAGGGCUUGAUCCCUAGUAUCCACUAUGUUCUGAGAUUGAUGUUGCUAUGACUUUGCUAUGCUUAAUGCUUGUCACUAGGGCCUGAGUGCCAUGAUUUCAUAUUUUAACCUAUUACAUUUUCAUGAAUAUAUUUGAGUUAUUGAUCCUAUCUGCAAGUUAUAUGCACAUGUUAUUGUUCUGAACCGUAGACCCCAACGUGACAAUAAUUGGGAUACUCUCCGGGAUGACUGUAAUUUGAGGAGUUCAUUAUUCACUAUGUGUUAAUGCUUUGUUUCAUUUUUCUAUUAAAAGUAGUGCAUUAAUUACCCUUAGAUUUCCAUUAGGACCCCGCUGCCAUGGGAGGGUAGGACAAAAAAUGUUAUGCAAGUUCUUAUUAUAAGCAUGUAUGAUUAUAUAUGGAAUGCAUGGCUACAUAUGAUUGAUGAAUUUGAACUAUUGUGCAUCACUCUAGGUUGUGAUUGUUACAUGAUGAAUGGCAUCCAAAUAUCCACUGCUACUUCAUGCCUACGCUUUCUCAUAAUAUUGCAUUACUUGAAUCAUUACUGCUGAUGUUGAUCUAAUUGCUAUAAAACUCUACUGUUACUCUUACUGUUAUUAUUGCUAUUGUUACCACUACUAUCAAAACUAUCAUAAUAUUACUGUGCUACUAAUAUUGUGAUGCAAAGAAACAACUUAGGUGUGGUUGAGUUGACAACUCAACUGCUAAGGCUUAUAAAUAUUCUUUGGCUCCCAUUGUGUCGAGUCAAUAAAUUUGGGUGAGAUACUACCCUCGAAAACCGUUGUGAUCCCCUAUACUUGUGGAUCAUCAUGUCCCUCCAUCGGAAGACCUGGAGGAUGUUAUCCCUGAAAAUUGGUGGCUACAUAGGAUUAGCGUACUAGGGACGAGGGAGGAGAUAGAAAUGCCUCUCCCUAGCUGCAUGCCAAAGCUUGGGCACAAGCCAAUGGAACCGAUGACACGUCGUUUCUACAUGUAGAUCAAGAAUGAAGACAACACUUGCCUUCCCGGUUGUCCCGAAGGAUUUCCAACAGGUGCUGAGGAGGUGGUUCUACAUAUGCCUUCCUUGUGUUGUGCCGCUUGCCGCCAAAAAGUGGUGAAACUACCGGGUAUGGGUCCAGGAGUCUGGCGGAAAGUCCGUGUUGGGGUGAGGCUGGAGUACCUUAUGUCGCAAGCACCUCGUGCUUCCCAACAACAUAGUCGUUCUAAAACUUGGCACUUUUUGCAUCAAAGUGAACAUAUUUGAUAGGAGCACCUCCAUUAUCUUUCACUACCAUUGCUCUAAGCACGGCUAGGUUGUAAAUCGCAAGUGCAUAAAAGGACUUAGUAGUAGUAUUAAUAUUGCCUUUUAUUGUAAACUAUAUAUGCAUAUUUUGAUCUCAGAACAUCACCCUUAUGAUGUUGUGCAGGGGCAUGGGCCUUGAUGAUGUUGUGGAUGCCCUUGCUGUCCUAGAACUCCACCAUGUUAAUGUUAGUACUAUUAAAUGUAUGUGUUAAUUGUGUGCAUGUUUGGUGUUAAUGUGUUGUGUGUAAUAUGUUGUGAUGUAUUUCAUAAGUGUGGUGCAUAGUGGUAAAGUCACCACUUAUUAAAGGGGUGAGCAGAAUACUCCAUCGCACACAGGCAAACAGACAUGCUUUGCAUCUGAUCACCCUAAAACCACAAAUGCAGGCAUCCAAACAACAUGCACAAAAACAACCAUAGUGAUGCAGACUACCAAACGAGGCAUACAACAUGACCCAAAGCUUGUUUCUUCCGAGCUGGGCUGAGUCGGGCCAUAGACCAGGAGGUCUGAAAUCAAUGUAGACAACCAAACAAGCCCUUACCCAUUAUAUAAACUAGCCCCCCCCCCCACAAACACACACUCUUACCACAAAGAUGUUGUGAUGUGUGGAAAGAACCUGCAAUGCUAAACUUGAGUGCAUGCAUGAUUAUUUGGACCAUACGGUCGUAGGUGCAUAACUACUAUCAGUGGAUAUACAUCCGUUCAACUAGCACAAGUGGAAAUUAAGUGAAUGGACACUUACUAUUGUUGAACUAGAUCUGAUAUGCACAAGUAGUAGUUCGCCCUCUUUAUAGUCAGUGACUUUAAUCUCAUUAGAGUUAUUUCUGACAAGAACAAUGAUAACAUACACCAAGGUUGGGCUGACAAAUUCAACAAUCAGGUUGGUAAACAUGCAUGAUGAAAAUCAAGACGUCUAAUAGGAUACACCUAGGCCAACAAUCGGGAUUCACUCUCAUGGCUGCCAUUGUGUAUUUGUUUCUCCCUGUUGCGGUGCUCACUUUCGUAUUGCUUCUGCUCAAACCUUAGCUAGAGUGAGAAGUGAUCAUAUACUUCUCCUUUUGGAGUUUGGAACACCCAUAUCCCACCACAAAAAAUUCUCUUUGAAAAGUAGUGGCUCGAAGAUGGAGGAUGUGCCCGAGCGGUCUAGGAAUCAUGGAUUGUUGUGUGUAUUACCACAUAUUAAACAAGUAUCUGAUAGACAAGGUUAGAUGGCUUAGGGAAGGAUUGAUAGGCUCGAGUAUUAACUUGAAGCUUCUCAUAGAAACAUAAACCGCUUGUAGCUAACAAUGAUUGUCUUGAUAUUACGUCUGAAACCAAGAAAUUUUUCCUUGGGGGAAAGGAGAGAUUGAAACAAUAUCUAAAGAAUUGAUACAUCUCAAUGUAUCUAUAAUUUUUGUAUUAUCCACGCCAUAUUUUCAUCAUUUAUACAAUUUUUUGAAGUUUAUUUAGAACUAACCUAUUAAUUCAGUGUCCAGUAUCAGUUUAUGUCUUUUUAGUGUUUAUCUCCUCAAGAAAAACAUGUAUUUGGGAUUUAUGGAAAAUCCAGAGAAAUAUGAGGAUGAUUUUUUUAGGGAAACCUGAUAAGCUUUAUUGACCGAGUGGCAAAAUUACAGGUAUCAUAUUGGUGUCAUGAGGAUGAUAUAUGCAUCAAGGAGACGACACAUGACCAACACUUGGGCUAAGAGGGCCCACAAGGGCCCUAGACACCCACUAUACGGGCCCAAUGUCUCAGGGCACCCUGGUAGUGCGUCUGUGCGUUCCAUGAGGCUUCUGGACCUCUUCUGUUGUCAAAAUCGUGUCCCCGGAGUUUAUGAACAACCCUAAAAAAAUCACAUUUUUUGGAGAUACGGAUCACUGGGAAUUAAUAAACCGUGACAUGACUCAGGUUCCGGUGUCCACAAAUAGCUCCCCUGAAAGUCUAAUCCAAUCAUGGGGGAUGCUCUCGUCCUCCACAACCUGGCCACCAAUAGUCUGUAGGAAAACCCUUUUCCCACCUAGGUGGGAGUAAGAAUGAUAUGGAGGAGGCUCUCUCUGCUCCUCUAUGCCAACGAUGCUGGAACAUCGCUGGGAGAGCCAUCAUUACCGCCAUCACCUCCAACAACUUCACGACCUCCACCACCAUCUUAUUCAUGUGAGUAGAGGCUUCUCCAUCCAUAAAUAUGGUAAUUCAUUGGAAAAUAUUGAUUUCUUGUGCUAUGAAUUAUUUCCCCAUUAUUUAACUUUUUUGUUGAUGUUUGAGUAGUAAUUUGUUCUAUGACAUUGGUGAAGCAGUAUUAAGAUUGAUUGAAGUUUUAUAUGUUGGUUUCCAUGAGAAUUUUUGUGUCUUAUUUAUGGUAGCACACGCACUUAGGGGUCACUUAAGGUGCAAUGAUGUGUUAUCAUAAAUAUAUGAAAGGAGGCAGCAGUGACAAUACCAUUUUGGAGGUCUAUCUAUAUCUAAUAUUAAAGGCGGUGUGUUUCUCCAAUUUUUUGGAACAAGAACUUGAACCAUGGUUGCAUUGAAAGAGCCCGCAUGCAUGAACCAAGUCAACUAGCCAACAUUGCUAGAGAAAUAAAGGAAGGUGCCCUUUUAUAGGUUAAGCGAGUUUUGUCAAAAAAUAUAGAAGCCACAGAUCGAUGAUGUAAGUCCAUCGCUGACGAUGGCGCUCCCAUCCGUGUUGCACACGCACUCCUCAGUGUUUGCCUACGCUGCGCAACAACACCGCUAGGCCUUUUUGGGUCUUAUCAAACUGGGCCAUGCUGGGCCAAACGUACUCCUCGGCCUUUGCCUACACUACACAGCAACUCUGUUGUGCCUUUUGGGCAUCAUCAAACUGGGCCAUGCUUGACCAAAACAAAAAAAUGCUACUGUGGAGGAUCGAACUCUUACGGCCUCCCUCCAAUUCACGAGGGUUCAACCAGUUUAACAUCACUCUUUUGAUUGUGAUAGAAGAAAUGAAUCACUUAUUAAUCAAUAGUCCAACCUCGCUCUUUUACAUCGGAUCUCACCAAUUUAUAUACGUCUGCUGGUAGAUAAUCAACGAGUCCCUAUGAAGGAAAGAAUAGAAUUAUGAUAAACAUAGUGAGGUGUGAAACAUAUAUGGUUGAUUGGCUCUAAUUUAAUGGGGCCGUGGGGAGAAAUAUUGGUGGGGUGGUAUAAGUUGCGGCCAAAAUAUUUAAAGAAGAGAACAUGCAUGGCUGAUUGGCGCUAACUUAAGCAGGAUUGUGGGUAAAAAAUAUUCCAGGAAUAGGCUGGGCAAAGUUGACCUUUACAGAAGAGAACGUGAGCAGUGACGACGUGUGGGGUAUUCAAUCAAAUAAUGCUUCGAUUCGUGCGGUAACGUCUGCCCAUUUAUUAUUGGGUCGUCGUCCCAUGGAGNNNNNNNNNNNNNNNNNNNNNNNNNNNNNNNNNNNNNNNNNNNNNNNNNNNNNNNNNNNNNNNNNNNNNNNNNNNNNNNNNNNNNNNNNNNNNNNNNNNNNNNNNNNNNNNNNNNNNNNNNNNNNNNNNNNNNNNNNNNNNNNNNNNNNNNNNNNNNNNNNNNNNNNNNNNNNNNNNNNNNNNNNNNNNNNNNNNNNNNNNNNNNNNNNNNNNNNNNNNNNNNNNNUGGCCUUACAUCUUCAAUAACAAUCAUGUCGAGCAGUCGGCACCCUUCACUAACAUGCUCCAAUCCUAGGUGUCGCCUCGCAAAUGCCCGCCUUGCUCGACCAGUCGUAGCCCGUCACCAACGCACGAGGAGGACUCGAUCGGCAUCAAAAUCAAAAUUUGGAAGUCCCUAUUGUGUCCGGCAUAAAUUAUUUUCCAAAUUUUUACGAACUUGUGUUUUUUUCUAUUGCAAUGCAUGGGCUCUUUUGCUAGUGAAUUAUAACAUAUAUACGGGGGUUAGGGGACCCUAAAGGAUAAAUCUAUAGUUGACUUUUAACUUAAUUAUUCUUAGUAGUUGUGUAUGCUUAAUUUAUAUGGAUUCUAUUAUAAGUGCAUGGUUUUGUAGCAUGUCUCCUAAAACUCCACUUAUUAAGGAAGCACAAAGUUCAUCUUACAAUGUAUUACCAUGUCUGUCCACGUGGUGAUAUACCCUUUAAGUGACAAUUGAGGGAAUCACCUACUUAGAUCAUUGAUACACAUCUUUUAUGUUGCCAUUGAACUUGUUCCCAAGAUAAGAAAAACAACCAGUUGUUACAAAUAGUCAAUUUCUCGGAAAUCUCGCGCCCAUUGGAUACUACAUCCAUCACAACCGCCACACACUCAAGCUCUCUUUUAUUUACUGCAAUGUUUUACUAUCAGCGCCUAACUUUUAUUUGUUAUCUUGCUAUAUACUUUAGUUACCUCAUUGCAACUUAUCUUGGUAAGUACCUUAGUUUCUACACUUGCAACCUAUCUUAGUUAUAAAGAGUCUAGGUUAAGUAAACACUAAAAGCUAGUUGUGUAAGUGACAUACAUAACUUGAGAGAAUAGGAAAAUUUUAGUCCUAUGGGGUAUCGACACUCAUAUGUAUAUUUCAACCUCCACUUUGAAAAGUGCUAAAAGAACUCUUUGCACUUCAGGAUUAUCAGGAACUAAACAUCAUUUGGAGGAAUGAAGUGAUUAAGCCAACGCGAGGGCUAGGGAGAGAGAUAUGUAGUGAGCAAUAGAAAUACUACAUACUUUGAUGAAGUGACUAACCAGAGAAGAAGGAACAAAAAGAUUGCCAUUUUAGGAAGUGAUCAUGUUGUUUUCACUAAGACAACUCAUAUGAUGUAGUUAGUUGUAGAGUGUUACAAAAGGUUUUUGCUAGGAGAACUGAAUUGAUAUCUCUUUAAUGGAUUUCUUCUGGAAUGUUGACAAUUUGGCUAAACCUGAAGAAAAUUUUGUUUUAUACUCUCCUUUAAUGAAGAAGGUAUUAGAGAUAAUAUUCUAUGUUGAAGGAGCACCUGGCCAUGAUGGUAUCCCAUUCCUCUUCUACCAAAAGAUUCUAGGCCACCAUUAAAGGAGACUUGAACAACCUAUUGAGAGACUUAGAAAAAAAUUAUGCUUCCUUUUCAUACUAAAUUUUAAGCCUUGUAUCUCUAAUACCUAAAGAAGCUAAUGCCAAGAAUUUGAAGAGAUUCUGAACCAUUGUUGUGACUAAUUAUAGUUUCAAGAUCUUCUCUAAAACUUGUACUAACAAGCUUGGGAAAUUUGUUGAUAUGCUUCUUGCUAGAAAUCAAACUACCUUCAUUAUGGGCAGGUACAUCUUGGAGAGCAUGGUUACAAUCCAUAAAAUUAUCCAUGAUGUCCAUCAUAGAAAUUGAAGCUUGGCUAUGAAAAAGCUUAUGAUAGGACGGAUUUGAAUUUUUUAGAGGAAAUGAUACUCCAAAGAGGCUUUAGCCAAAAUGGAUGGAUAAGAUGAGAGUGAUGUUGCAUAAGAGGUUGGUGGGGAUCCAAAUCAACGAUAAUAGUAAAAAUGAAAGUGGUAAAAGGCCUGAGAGAAAGGGGGCCCACUCUCCCCUCGGCUCUUCAGUCUGGUAGCUAAUGCGUUUUCCAGAAUGCUCGUUAGAAUUGUGAGCCAACAUUAAUUUCUUGUUUUCUUCGUAACUUUAGACCUGGUGGGGUUAUCCGUGGGCAAUGUGUGGAUGAGACACUUCUUUCUCCAAAGAAUGAUACACAAACAUCUAUGAAUUUAAAAUGGAUCUUUUAUGUUUUUGAACAACUCUUUGACAUGGGAAUUAAUUUUAACAAAUGUGACCUUGCUCCAUCAAAGUUCUUGAAGAUCGAAGUAAUAUGUUAGCCCACGUGUUGGCUCUAAAAUUAGCUCCAUUCCACUGAAAUGGGUGCCCCUACAUCACAGUAAGCUCAGGAAGGAAGAAUUAAUACAACAUGUUGAUAUGCCCAUUAAGAUAGUUGUUGGCUAGAGGGUGAUGCUACUCUCCGAUGCAGCUAUAUAACGUCCAUUAGAUCCUGACGAGCCAGCAUUCCCCUUUACCUAUUAUCAUCUACUAAAUUCCCUUCCUAUUCCAUUAAAGAUAUCAAUUGUUAUAUGCCCUAUUGCCUCUGAGACAAUUGCCAAGGAUACAGAAAAUACCACUUAGCCAAUUGAGAUUUAUUGACCAUGAACACAAGUAUGUUGGUAUGGAAAUUCCUAAUAUAAGGGACUUCAACUUUAGUUUAUUGGCCUCUUGGACUAGAAGAUAGCAACUGGAUUAUCAUAAGUUGUGGAAAUUGAACAUUGACUUAAAUGCCCUAUUGACAUAUGACAUAUCUUUAACUGCCAAACCUCUUAUGUUUCCCCUUUUUGGAACAGUGUGAUGUGGGCAGCUAAUGCUGCCAAGUUUGAUUACCAAGGUUAGUGGGUAAUAGUGAGAUAUUUAGGUUUGGGGAAUAUCAACGGAUGACAUUUUACAUUAAUAUUUGGGAUGUCUAUUAAAUUUGCAAUGAAAAAUGUGCCACCAUACAAGAAGUGUGGGAUGGUCAUCAAAUGAGACUUUCCUUUGGCAAAGGCUUUAAAAACACACUAAUGGACUGAUGGCACCAGAUUGAACAAAUUUGUUCUUCUAUGAACCCAAUUGAAGAAGGGGAUAACCUAGUGUGGCGGUUACAUAAUUUUGGGUUGUAUACUUCCCUGGUCCUUAUAUGUUGCCUUGACUUUAGGGGUGUGAAACCUGGUUUACAUCUUCCUUAUGGAGUUUAUUAAUACCACCUUGAGAACAUGUAUUCUUAUGGUAGAUGUCACAUAAUAAACUGCUAACAAGAGAUAAUUUGGAGAAAAUACAUGAUAUAGCUGAUAAAACAUGUUUAUUAUAUUAUGAACCUAAGAACAUUGAACAAUUGUUCUUUUGUCGUGUGCUUAAACAUGUUUGGAGAGAGAGAUAUUUGGUAACACAUAGCACCUCGGAAAAAAUUGAAUAUGUUGCCUGCUUAUGGGUUAGUGACAAGAAAAAUGUUGUGAUUAAUAUGGUCUCUUUGUUUUGGGAUUAUGCACUUCUUUUCAUGUCAGGCUGCUGCAGUGUCUGGACUGCCAUUGUAAUGGGCUUUAAAGCUUGCUUUUUCAAUGAAAAAUGGAACCAUCGUGAGAGUAUCUCCAACGGCUCCCCUUUCCCCAUUAUUUUACUAAAUUGGGGGAUUUGACCAAAAAAAUAAGCUCCAUAGCGCCCCUAUUGGACUCCAGCCGCACACCAAACCACCAUCGUGCCAUCGCCGGUUGAUUGAUAAGUGGGUCAUGUAUGUCACAUUGGUUAUUGAGAAUCUGUGAAAGCUUUCAUACCCAAUAACCAAAAAAGUGUUAUUGGGAAACCCCAAUAAGUGAUUAUUGGGUGAGUUUUAUUGGCGACCUAUUUGAGAUGCUCUUGGCCUUUUGAUCUGAAUAAACACAUGUGAGUGGUACGGGGUGUGCUUCUUCCUUGGAGCACCUAACUGAGGGGUAACCCCCGCGGGGGGCACUCCUAGGCAAGCGUGAUACUGUCAUGUGGCAGUAUAAGAGAUGGACGUUGAACACGAUGAAGGAAAUAUGCCCUAGAGGCAAUAAUAAAGUUAUUAUUUAUUUCCUUAUAUCAUGAUAAAUGUUUAUUAUUCAUGCUAGAAUUGUAUUAACCGGAAACAUAAUACAUGUGUGAAUACAUAGACAAACAGAGUGUCACUAGUAUGCCUCUACUUGACUAGCUCGUUAAUGGAAGAUGGUUAUGUUUACUAACCAUGAACAAAAGAGUUGUUAUUUGAUUAACGGGAUCACAUCAUUAGAAGAAUGAUGUGAUUGACAUGACCCAUUCCAUUAGCUUAGCACCCGAUCGUUUAGUAUGUUGCUAUUGCUUUCUUCAUGACUUAUACAUGUUCCUAUGACUAUGAGAUUAUGCAACUCCCGUUUACCGGAGGAACACUUUGUGUGCUACCAAACGUCACAACGUAACUGGGUGAUUAUAAAGGAGAUCUACAGGUGUCUCCAAAGGUACAUGUUGGGUUGGCGUAUUUUGAGAUUAGGAUUUGUCAUUCCGAUUGUCGGAGAGGUAUCUCUGGGCCCUCUCGGUAAUGCACAUCACAUAAGCCUUGCAAGCAUUGCAACUAAUGAGUUAGUUGCGACAUGAUGUAUUACGGAAUGAGUAAAGAGACUUGCCGGUAACGAGAUUGAACUAGGUAUUGAGAUACCGACGAUCGAAUCUCGGGCAAGUAACAUACCGAUGACAAAGGGAACAGCGUAUGUUGUUAUGCGGUCUGACCAAUAAAGAUCUUCGUAGAAUAUGUGGGAGCCAAUAUGAGCAUCCAGGUUCUGCUAUUGGUUAUUGACCGGAGACGUGUCUCAGUCAUGUCUACAUUGUUCUCGAACCCGUAGGGUCCGCACGCUUAAGGUUUCGAUGACAGUUUCAUUAUGAGUUUAUAUGUUUUGAUGUACCGAAGGAGUUCGGAGUCCCAGAUGAGAUCAGGGACAUGACGAGGAGUCUCGAAAUGGUCGAGAUGUAGAGAUCGAUAUAUUGGACGACUAUAUUCGGACAUCGGAAAGGUUCCGAGUGAUUCGGGUAUUUUCGGAGGUACCGGGGAUUUACGGGAAUACGAGGAAGAAGCAAUGGGCCUUAAUGGGCCUUAGUGGAAAGGACCAGGAGGUGGCGCACGCCCCUCCCAAGCCCAGUCCGAAUUGGACAAGGGGUUUGGGGCACGGCCCCUCUCUCCCUUCCUUCCCCUCUUCCCCCCUUUCCCCCCUUCUCCUAGUUGGACUAGGAAAGGAGGAAACCUACUCCAACUAGGAGUAGGAAUCCUACUCCCUGGCGUGCCCCUCCUAGGGCCGGCCUCCUCCCCCUUGCUCCUUUAUAUACGGGGGCAGGGGGCACCCCUAGACACACAAGUUGAUCUUCGUGAUCGUUCUCUUAGCCGUGUGCGGUGCCCCCCUCCACCAUACUCCUCGAUAAUAUUGUAGCGGUGCUUAGGCGAAGCCCUGCGACGGUAGAACAUCAAGAUCGUCACCACGCCGUCGUGCUGACGAAACUCUUCCCCGACACUUUGCUGGAUCGGAGUCCGGGGAUCGUCAUCGAGCUGAACGUGUGCUAGAACUCGGAGGUGCCGUAGUUUCGGUGCUUGAUCGGUCGGGCCGUGAAGACGUACGACUACAUCAACCGCGUUGUCAUAACGCUUCCGCUGUCGGUCUACGAGGGUAGAAGACAACACUCUCCCCUCUCGUUGCUAUGCAUCACCAUGAUCUUGCGUGUGCGUAGGAAAUUUUUGAAAUUACUACGUUCCCCAACAGUGGCAUCCGAGCCUAGGUUUUAUGUGUUGAUGUUAUAUGCACGAGUAAAACACAAGUGAGUUGUGGGCGAUAUAAGUCAUACUGCUUACCAGCAUGUCAUACUUUGGUUUGGCGGUAUUGUUGGACGAAGCGGCCCGGACCGACAUUACGCGUACGCUUACGCGAGACCGGUUCUCCCGACGUGCUUUGCACAAAGGUGGCUAGCGGGUGACAGUUUCUCCAACUUUAGUUGAACCGAGUGUGGCUACGCCCGGUCCUUGUGAAGGUUAAAAUAGCACCAACUUGACAAACUAUCAUUGUGGUUUUGAUGCGUAGGUAAGAUUGGUUCUUGCUUAAGCCCGUAGUAGCCACGUAAAACUUGCAACAACAAAGUAGAGGACGUCUAACUUGUUUUUGCAGGGCAUGUUGUGAUGUGAUAUGGUUAAGACAUGAUGCUAAAUUUUACUGUAUGAGAUGAUCAUGUUUUGUAACCAAGUUAUCGGCAACUGCCAGGAGCCAUAUGGUUGUCGCUUUAUUGUAUGCAAUGCAAUUGCGCUGUAAUGCUUUACUUUAUCACUAAGCGGUAGCGAUAGUCGUGGAAGCAUAAGAUUGGCGAGACGACAACGAUGCUACGAUGGUGAUCAAGGUGUCGCGCCGGUGACGAUGGUGAUCACAACGGUGCUUCGAAGAUGGAGAUCACAAGCACAAGAUGAUGAUGGCCAUAUCAUAUCACUUAUAUUGAUUGCCUGUGAUGUUUAUCUUUUAUGCAUCUUAUCUUGCUUUGAUUGUCGGUAGCAUUUUAAGAUGAUCUCUCACUAACUAUCAAGAAGUGUUCUCCCUGAGUAUGCACCGUUGCGAAAGUUCUUCGUGUUGAGACACCACGUGAUGAUCGGGUGUGAUAGGCUCUACGUUCAAAUACAACGGGUCCAAAACAGUUGCACACGCGGAAUACUCAGGUUAUACUUGACGAGCCAAGCAUAUACAGAUAUGGCCUCGGAACACGGAGACCGAAAGGUCGAGCGUGAAUCAUAUAGUAGAUAUGAUCAACAUAGUGAUGUUCACCAAUGAAACUAAUCCAUCUCACGUGAUGAUCGGACAUGGUUUAGUUGAUUUGGAUCACGUGAUCACUUAGAGGAUUAGAGGGAUGUCUAUCUAAGUGGGAGUUCUUAAGUAAUAUGAUUAAUUGAACUUAAAUUUAUCAUGAACUUAGUCCUAGUAGUAUUUUGCAAAUUAUGUUGUAGAUCAAUAGCUCGCGUUGUUGCUUCCCUGUGUUUAUUUUGAUAUGUUCCUAGAGAAAAUUGUGUUGAAAGAUGUUAGUAGCAAUGAUGCGGAUUGGAUCCGUGAUCUAAGGUUUAUCCUCAUUGCUGCACAGAAGAAUUAUGUCCUUGAUGCACCGCUAGGUGAUAGACCUAUUGCAGGAGCAGAUGCAGACGUUAUGAACGUUUGGCUAGCUCAAUAUGAUGACUACUUGAUAGUUUAGUGCACCAUGCUUAACCGGCUUAGAAUCGAGACUUCAAAGACGUUUUGAACGUCAUGGACCAUAUGAGAUGUUCCAGGAGUUGAAGUUAAUAUUUCAAGCAAAUACCCGAGUUGAGAGAUAUGAAGUUUCCAACAAGCUCUAUAGCUAAAAAGAUGGAGGAGAAUCGCUCAACUAGUGAGCAUGUGCUCAGAUUGUCUGGAUACUACAAUCGCUUGAAUAAAAUGGGAGUUAAUCUUCUAGAUAAGAUAGUAAUUGACAGAAUUCUCUAGUCACCAUCACCAAGUUAGUAGAACUUCGUGAUGAACUAUAGUAUGCAAGGGAUGACGAAAACGACUCCCGAGCUUUUCAUGAUGAUGAAAUCGAUGAAGGUAGAAAUCAAGAAAGAGCAUCAAGUGUUGAUGGUUGACAAGAUCACUAGUUUCAAGAAAAGGGCAAAGGGAAAAAGGGGAACUUCAAGAAAAACAGCAAGCAAGUUGCUGCUCAAGUGAAGAAGCCCAAGUCUGAUCCUAAGCCUGAGACUAAGUGCUUCUACUGCAAAGGGACUGGUCACUGGAAGCGGAACUACCCCAAGUGAUUGGCGGAUAAGAAGGAUGGCAAAGUGAACAUAAGUAUAUUUGAUAUACAUGUUAUUGAUGUGUACUUUACUAGUGUUCAAAGCAACCCCUCAGUAUUAGAUACUAGUUCAGUUGCUAAGAUUAGUAACUCGAAACGGGAGUUGCAGAAUAAACAGAGACUAGUUAAGGGUGAAGUGAUGAUGUGUGUUGGAAGUGGUUCCAAGAUUGAUAUGAUCAUCAUCGCACACUCCCUAUACUUUCGGGAUUAGUGUUGAACCUAAAUAAGUGUUAUUUGGUGUUUGCGUUGAGCAUGAAUAUGAUUUGAUCAUGUUUAUUGUAAUACGGUUAUUCAUUAAAGUAAGAGAAUAAAUUGUUGUUCUGUUUACAUGAAUAAAACCUUAUAUGGUUGCACACCCAAUGAAAAUGGUUCAUUGGAUCUCGAUCAUAGUGAUACACAUAAUCAUAAUAUUGAAACCAAAAGAUGCAAAGUUAAUAAUGAUAGUGCAACUUAUUUGUGGCACUGCCGUUUAGGUCAUAUUGGUGUAAAGCGCAUGAAGAAACUCCAUGUUGAUGGGCUUUUGGAAUCACUUGAUUAUGAAUCAGUUGAUGCUUGCGAACCAUGCCUCAUGGGCAAGAUGACUAAGACUCCGUUCUUCGGAACAAUGGAGCGAGCAACAGAGUUGUUGGAAAUCAUACAUACUGAUGUAUGUGGUCCGAUGAAUAUUGAGGCUCGCGACAGGUAUCAUUAUUUUCUGAUCUUCACAGAUGAUUUGAGCAGAUAUGAGUAUAUCUACUUGAUGAAACAUAAGUCUGAAACAUUUGAAAAGUUCAAAGAAUUUCAGAGUGAAGUGAAAAAUCAUCGUAACAAGAAAAUAAAGUUUCUACGAUAUGAUCGUAGAGAAGAGUAUUUGAGUUACGAGUUUGGCCUUCAGUUAAAAACAAUGUGAAAUAGUUUCACUACUCACGCCACCUAGAACACCACAAUGUAAUGGUGUGUCCGAACGUCAUAACCGUACUUUAUUAGAUAUGGUGCGAUCUAUGAUGUCUCUGACCGAUCUACCACUAACGUUUUGGGGUUAUGCAUUAGAGACAGCUGCAUUCACGCUAAAUAGGCCACCAUCUAAAUCCGUUGAGACGACACCGUAUGAACUAUGGUUUGGCAAGAAACCUAAGCUGUCAUUUCUUAAAGUUUGAGGUUGCAAUGCUUAUGUGAAAAAGUUUCAACCUGAUAAGCUCAAACCCAAAUCGAAGAAGUGCGUCUUCAUAGGAUACCCAAAAGAAAAUGUUGGGUACACCUUCUAUCACAGAUCCGAAGGCAAGAUAUUCGUUGCUUUGAAUGGAUCCUUUCUAGAGAAGGAGUUUCUCUCGAAAGAAGUGAGUGGGAGGAAAGUAGAACUUGAUGAGGUAACUGUACUUGCUCCCUUAUUGGAAAGUAAUUCAUCACAGAAAAUGGUUUCUGUGACACCUACACCAAUUAGUGAGGAAGUUAAUGAUGAUGAUCAUGAAACUUCAGAUCAAGUUAUUACUGAACCUCAUAGAUCAACCAGAGUAAGAUCCGCACCAGAGUGGUAUGGUAAUCCUGUUCUGGAAAUCAUGCUACUAGAUCAUGAUGAACCUACGAACUAUGAAGAAGCGAUGGUGAGCCCAGAUUCCGCAAAAUGGCUUGAAGCCAUGAAAUCUGAGAUGGGAUCCAUGUAUGAAAAACAAAGUAUGAACUUUGGUUGAGUUGCCCGAUGAUCGGCAAGAAAUUGAAAAUAAAUGGAUCUUCAAGAGGAAGACGGAUGCUGAUAGUAGUAUUACUAUCUACAAAGCUAGAAUUGUCGCAAAAAGGUUUUCGACAAAGUUCAAGAUGUUGACUACGAUGAGAGUUUCUCACUCGUAUCUAUGCUUAAGUCUGUCCGAAUCAUAUUAGCAAUUGCCGCAUUUUAUGAAAUCUGGCAAAUGGAUAAACAAAGCUGCAUUCCUUAAUGGAUUUCUUAAAAAAGAGUUGUAUAUGAUGCAACCAGAAGGUUUUGUCAAUCCUGAAAGUGUUAGCAAAAUAUGCAAGCUCCAGCGAUCCAUCUGUGGACUGGUGCAAGCAUCUCGGAGUUGGAAUAUACGCUUUGAUAAGUUGAUCAAAGUAUAUAAUUUUAUACAGACUUGUGGUGAAGCCUGUAUUUACAAGAAAGUGAGUGGGAGCACUACAACAUUUCUGAAAAGUAUAUGUGAAUGACAUAUUGUUGAUCAGAAAUAAUGUAGAAUUAUUCUACAAAGCAUAAAGGAGUGUUUGAAAGGAUUUUUUCAAAGAAAGACCUCGGUGAAGCUGCUUACAUAUUGAGCAUCAAGAUCUAUAGAGAUAGAUCAAGACGCUUAAUAAGUUUUUUUUCAAUGAGUACAUACCUUGACAAGAUUUUGAAGUAGUUCAAAAUGGAACGGUCAAAGGAAAAGUUCUUGCCUGUGUUACAAGGUGUGAAAUUGAGUAAGACUCAAAACCCGACCACAGCAGAAAAUAGAAAGAGAAUGAAAGUCAUUCCCUAUGCCUCAACCAUAGGUUCUAUAAAGUAUGCCAUGCUGCGUACCAGAUCUAUUGUAUACCCUACCACUGAUUUUGGCAAGGGAGUACAAUAGUGAUCUAGGAGUAGAUCAAUGGACAGUGGUCGAAAUUAUCCUUACUAGAAUAACGAUGUGUUUCUCAAUUAUGGAGGUGAAAAAAGGUUCGUCAUAAAAAGUUACGUUGAUGCAAGUUUUGACACAGAUCUGGAUGACUCUAAGUCUCGAUCUAGAUACAUACUGAAAGUGGGAGCAAUUAGCUAGAGUAGCUCCGUGCAGAGCAUUGUAGACACAGAAUUCGCAAAAUACUUACGGAUCUGUAUGUGACAGACCCGUUGACUAAAAUUAUCUCACAAGCAAAACAUGAUCACACCUUAGUACUCUUUGGGUGUUAAUCACAUAAACGAUGUGAACUAGAUUAAUGACUCUAGUAAACCCUUUGGGUAUAGGUCACAUGACGAUGUGAACUAUGGGUGUUAAUCACAUGGUGAUGUGAACUCUUAGUGUUGAAUCACAUGGCGAUGUGAACUAGAUUAUUGACUCUAGUGCAAGUGGGAGACUGAAGGAAAUAUGCCCUAGAGGCAAUAAUAAAGUUAUUAUUUAUUUCCUUAUAUCAUGAUAAAUGUUUAUUAUUCAUGCUAGAAUUGUAUUAACCGGAAACAUAAUACAUGUUUGAAUACAUAGACAAACAGAGUGUCACUAGUAUGCCUCUACUUGACUAGCUCGUUAAUCGAAGAUGGUUAUGUUCACUAACCAUGAACAAAAGAGUUGUUAUUUGAUUAACGGGAUCACAUCAUUAGAAGAAUGAUGUGAUUGACAUGACCCAUUCCAUUAGCUUAGCACCCGAUCGUUUAGUAUGUUGCUAUUGCUUUCUUCAUGACUUAUACAUGUUCCUAUGACUAUGAGAUUAUGCAACUCCCGUUUACCGGAGGAACACUCUGUGUGCUACCAAACGUCACAACGUAACUUGGUGAUUAUAAAGGAGCUCUACAGGUGUCUCCAAAGGUACAUGUUGGGUUGGCGUAUUUCAAGAUUAGGAUUUGUCACUCCGAUUGUCGGAGAGGUAUCUCUGGGCCCUCUCGGUAAUGCACAUCACAUAAGCCUUGCAAGCAUUGCAACUAAUGAGUUAGUUGCGAGAUGAUGUAUUACGGAACGAGUAAAGAGACUUACCAGUAACGAGAUUGAACUAGGUAUUGAGAUACCGAUGACCGAAUCUCGGGCAAGUAACAUACCGAUGACAAAGGGAACAAUGUAUGUUGUUAUGCGGUCUGACCGAUAAAGAUCUUCGUAGAAUAUGUGGGAGCCAAUAUGAGCAUCCAGGUUCCGCUAUUGGUUAUUGACCGGAGACGUGUCUCGGUCAUGUCUACAUUGUUCUCGAACCCGUAGGGUCCGCACGCUUAAGGUUUCGAUGACAGUUUCAUUAUGAGUUUAUAUGUUUUGAUGUACCGAAGGAGUUCGGAGUCCCGGAUGAGAUCAGGGACAUGACGAGGAGUCUCGAAAUGGUCGAGACGUAAAGAUCGAUAUAUUUGUUGGGAAACGUAGUAAUUUCAACAAAUUUCCUACGCAUACGCAAGAUCAUGGUGAUGCAUAGCAACAAGGGGAGAGUGUGAUCUACAUACCUUGUAGAUUGACAACGGAAGCGUUUGGUUGAUGUAGUCGUAUGUCUUCACGGCCCGACCGAUCAAGCACCGAAACUACGGCACCUCCGAGUUUUAGUACACGUUCAGCUCGAUGACGAUCCCCGGACUCCGAUCCAGCAAAGUGUCGGGGAAGAGUUCCGUCAGCACGACGGCAUGGUGACGAUCUUGAUGUACUACUGCUGCAGGGCUUCGCCUAAGCACUGCUACAAUAUUAUCGAGGACUAUGGUGGCUGGGGGGCGCCGCACACGGCUAAGAAUAAGAUCACGUGGAUCAACUUGUGUCUCUCUGGGGUGCCCCUGCCUCUGUAUAUAAAGGACCAAGAGGGGGAGGCCGGCCGGCCACAUAUGGCGCGCCAGGAGGAGUCCUACUCCCUCCGGGAGUAGGACUUCUCCCCCAAUCCUAGUUGGAAUAGGACUCGCGAGGUGGGAAAAGAGAGAGAGAGAGAGGGAAGAGGGCGCCGGCCCCCUCUCUCCUUGUCCUAUUCGGACUAGGGGGAGGGGCGCGCGGCCCAGCCCUGGCUGCCUCUCCUCUUCUUCCACUAAGGCCCAUUAAGGCCCAUGUACCUCCCGGGGGGUUCCGGUAACCUCCCGGUACUCCGGUAAAAUCCCGAUUUCACCCGGAACACUUCCGAUAUCCAAAUGUAGGCUUCCAAUAUAUCAAUCUUUAUGUCUCGACCAUUUCGAGACUCCUCGUCAUGUCCGUGAUCACAUCCGGGACUCAGAACAAACUUCGGCGCAUCAAAAUGCAUAAACUCAUAAUAUAACUGUCAUCAUAACCUUAAGCGUGCGGACCCUACGAGUUCGAGAACAAUGUAGACAUGACCGAGACAUGUCUCCGGUCAAUAACCAAUAGCGGAACCUGGAUGCUCAUAUUGGCUCCUACAUAUUCUACGAAGAUCUUUAUCAGUCAGACCGCAUAACAACAUACGUUGUUCCCUUUGUCAUCGGUAUGUUACUUGCCCGAGAUUCGAUCGUCGGUAUUCCAAAUACCUAGUUCAAUCUCGUUACCGGCAAGUCUCUUUACUCGUUCUGUAAUACAUCAUCCCGCAACUAACUCAUUAGUUGCAAUGCUUGCAAGGCUUAAGUGAUGUGCAUUACCGAGAGGGCCCAGAGAUACCUCUCCAACAAUCGGAGUGACAAAUCCUAAUCUCGAAAUACGCCAACCCAACAUGUACCUUUGGAGACACCUGUAGAGCUCCUUUAUAACCACCCAGUUACGUUGUGACGUUUGGUAGCACACAAAGUGUUCCUCUGGUAAACGGGAGUUGCAUAAUCUCAUAGUCAUAGGAACAUGUAUAAGUCAUGAAGAAGGCAAUAGCAACAUACUAAACGAUCGGGUGCUAAGCUAGUGGAAUGGGUCAUGUCAAUCAGAUCAUUCACUUAAUGAUGUGAUUCCGUUAAUCAAAUAACAACUACUUGUUCAUGGUUAGGAAACAUAACCAUCUUUGAUUAACGAGCUAGUCAAGUAGAGGCAUACUAGUGACACUUUGUUUGUCUAUGUAUUCACACAUGUAUUAUGUUUCCGGUUAAUACAAUUCUAGCAUGAAUAAUAAACAUUUAUCAUGAUAUAAGGAAAUAAAUAAUAACUUUAUUAUUGCCUCUAGGGCAUAUUUCCUUCAAUAUUGGACGACUAUAUUCGGACAUCGGAAAGGUUCCGAGUGAUUCGGGUAUUUUUGGAGGUACCGGGGAGUUACGGGAAUACGAGGAAGAAGCAAUGGGACUUAAUGGGCCUUAGUGGAAAGGACUAGGAGGUGGCGCGCGCCCCUCCCAAGCCCAGUCCGAAUUGGACAAGGGGUUUGGGGCGCGGCCCCUCUCUCCCUUCCUUCCCCUCUUCCCCCCUUUCCCCCCUUCUCCUAGUUGGACUAGGAAAGAAGGAAACCUACUCCAACUAGGAGUAGGAAUCCUACUCCCUGGCGCGCCCCUCCUAGGGCCGGCCUCCUCCCCCUUGCUCCUUUAUAUACGGGGGCAGGGGGCACCCCUAGACACACAAGUUGAUCUUCGUGAUCGUUCUCUUAGCCGUGUGCGGUGCCCCCCUCCACCAUACUCCUUGAUAAUAUUGUAGCGGUGCUUAGGCGAAGCCCUGCCACGGUAGAACAUCAAGAUCGUCACCACGCCGUCGUGCUGACGAAACUCUUCCCCGACACUUUGCUGGAUCGGAGUCCGGGGAUCAUCAUCGAGCUGAACGUGUGCUAGAACUCGGAGGUGCCGUAGUUUCGGUGCUUGAUCGGUCGGGCCGUGAAGACGUACGACUACAUCAACCGCGUUAUCAUAACGCUUCCGCUGUCGGUCUACGAGGGUACGUAGACAACACUCUCCCCUCUCGUUGCUAUGCAUCACCAUGAUCUUGCGUGUGCGUAGGAAAUUUUUGAAAUUACUACGUUCCCCAACACACAACACAUGGUUGUUUGGACGAGUUUAUGUGUGAUUUUCUUAUUUCUGGUGUUUUCCUUUGGUUUUUUCUUCUACUUUUUUCUUGACUUUUAUCUAUAGUUUUGUCUUGUUUUCUAACGUACAAUGGUUUGGGCGUACAGACUAAUCAUUGGUGUAGAUUACACAGAGCGGGGAGUACAGGUUACAUCGUGCAGGAAGCGUUGUUUACAGUGUAAAUGGAGCACAUAUUGCAUCGUGAAGUCCAAGUUGCACUGCAUAUAUGGAGAGUGUGAGUUCCAUUGUAUGGGAGUACAGGUUGCAUUAUACGGUGAGUAUAGGCUACGUUAGGGAGUACUCCCUCUGUAAAGAAAUAUAAGAGCGUUUAGAUCACUACUCUUAUACUUCUUUACGGAGGGAGUACAAGUUGCAUUAAAUGAGGAGUACAUGUUGUCGGAGUAGUACAUGUUGCACUGUACAUGGAGUACAAGUCACGCCAAGGAGUACAAGUUACACUGAACGGGGAGAGCAUGUUGUGUUGGAGUAGUACGUUUGCACUAUACAUGGAGUACAAGUCACGCUAGGGAGUGCAAGUUGCAUUGAACGAGGAGAACAUGUUGCGCAUGAGUUGUACAUGUUGCACUGUACGGGGAGUACAAGUUGUGUCAGGGAGUGCAAGUUGCAUUGAAUGAGGAGGACAUGUUGCGGCAGAGUAGUACGUGUUGCACUAUACGGGGAGGACAGCUGUAGGAGAGUACAUGUUGCGUUAUAAGAGAAGCAUUAUACAGCGAGUACAUGCUGCUUGAGGGAGUAUAAGCUGCACAGUAUGUGGAGUAUAAGUCAUGCCAGGAGUCCAAGUUGCAUUGGGGGAGGAGAACAUGUUGCUUGGCGCAAAUACAGAUUACACUGUAUGUGGAAUACAAGUUACACUACAUGGGAGUACACCUCCCGUGGGGAAUAUAGUUAAUUCACCCAGUGAUGUACGUGAUGUUUUUAAUGAGAGAGUGAAGUACAUGUAUGUUUUUUGUUUUUUGUGGCCGAAAUCACUAUUCUGACCUUGUCAGAGAACUUUAGCAGAAAAUGACCUCUCCCAAAAAAUUAGCAUGAUUUGACCCUUUUUGAAAUGACAAGACUCGUGGCAUUACAGCCCCACAUAGAAAUGUCGAACCAGGAGGUGUAGCUGAAGGAAAUAUGCCCUAGAGGCAAUAAUAAAGUUGUUAUUUUAUAUUUCCUUAUUCAUGCUAAAGGUUUAUUAUUCAUGCUAGAAUCAUAUUGAUCGGAAACUUAAAUACAUGUGUGAAUACAUAAACAAAUAUUGUGUCCCUAGUAUGCCUCUACUAGAGUAGCUCGUUGAUCAAAGAUGGUUAAGAUUUCCUAACCAUGGACAUGUGUUGUCAUUCAAUAAUGGUAUCACAUCAUUAGGAGAAUGAUGUGAUGGACAAGACCCAUCCGUUAGCUUAGCAUAAUGAUCGUUCAUUUUUAUUGCUAUUGCUUUCUUCAUAUCAAAUACAUAUUCCUUCGACUAUGAGAUUAUGCAACUCCCGGAUACCGGAGGAAUACCUUGUGUUCUAUUAAACAUCACAAUGUAACUGGGUGAUCAUAAAUAUGCUCUACAGGUAUCUCCGGAGGUGUUUGUUGAGUUGGCAUAGAUCAAGAUUAGGAUUUAUCACUCCGAGUAUCGGAGAGGUAUCUCUGGGCCCUCUUGGUCAUACACAUCAUAAGCUAGCAAGCAAAUGACUAAGGAGUUAAUCACGAGGUGAUGUAUUACAGAACAAGUAAAGAGACUUGCCAGGAACGAGAUUGAACUAGGUAUAAGAUACCGACGAUCGAAUCUCGGGCAAGUAACAUACCGAUUGACAAAGGGAAUUGCGUAUGUUGUCAUAAUGGUUCGACCAAUAAAGAUCUUCAUAGAAUAUGUAGGAGCCAAUAUGGACAUCCAGGUUCCGCUAUUGGUUAUUGACCGGAGAGGUGUCUCGGUCAUGUCUACAUAGUUCUCGAACCCGUAGGGGUCCGCACGAUUAACGUUCGUUGACGAUAUAGUGUUAUAUGAGUUAUAUGUUUUGGUGACCGAAUGUUGUUCGGAGUCCCGGAUGAGAUCACAGAAAUGAAGAGGAGUCUCAAAAUGGUCGAGAGGUAAAUAUUGAUAUAUAGGAUGAUGGUAUUUGGACACCGGAAGUGUUUCGGGAUGUACCGGGAAGGAAUCGGGUCACCAGAAGGGGUUCCAGGCACCCUUCGGCAAGUUAUGGGCCUUGUGGGCCAAAGGAGGGGACAGACCAGCCCACAAGGGGGCUGGUGUGCCCCCUCCCUUGUUUGGCCAGCCCUAGGGAAGGAAAUGGGGGAGAGCUAGCCCCUCAUGCCUUUCCCUCUCAUUGGAGAAAGGAAAGGGGGGCGCCACCCUCCUCUGCCUUUCCCCGCACUCCAAAUAAUGAAAAGGGAGGCGCGGCUUGGGAGGGACCCCAAGUAGGAUUCCUCCUACUUGGGUGUCUCCUUUGGCUGCUCAUCCCUCCCUCCCACCUAUAUAUAUGCGGGAGGGGGCGCCUACCACACAACAGACAAUUGCCUAGCCAUGUGCGGUACCCCCCCCCCNNNNNNNNNNNNNNNNNNNNNNNNNNNNNNNNNNNNNNNNNNNNNNNNNNNNNNNNNNNNNNNNNNNNNNNNNNNNNNNNNNNNNNNNNNNNNNNNNNNNNNNNNNNNNNNNNNNNNNNNNNNNNNNNNNNNNNNNNNNNNNNNNNNNNNNNNNNNNNNNNNNNNNNNNNNNNNNNNNNNNNNNNNNNNNNNNNNNNNNNNNNNNNNNNNNNNNNNNNNNNNNNNNNNNNNNNNNNNNNNNNNNNNNNNNNNNNNGUCAUAUUUUUGUAGUGCUUAGGCGAAGCCCUACGGAGAUCACUUCACCAUCAUCGUCACGACACCAUCGUGCUGCCGGAACUCAUCUACUACCUCGCCGUUUUGCUGGAUCAAGAAGGUAGAGGACGUCACCGAGCUGAAUGUGUGCAGAACGCGGAGGUGUCGUACGUUCGAUACUUAAUCGGUUGGAGCGCGAAGAAGUUCGACUACAUCAAUUGCGUUGUUAAACGCUUCCACUUACGGUCUACGAGGGUACGUAGACAUACUCUCUCCCUCGUUGCUAUGCAUCCCCAUGGAUAGAUCAUUGCGUGUGCGUAGAAAUUUUUUUGUUUUCCAUGCAACGUUUCCCAACAGUUGCUGGCCUUGCCGAAAUGGUGUUGGCCGCCAACGUGGCAGAAAGAAACGCUAGACCAUACUGUGUUGCUAGAAAGGCUUGAUCCCCUGGUGUUUUUUAUCUGAAUAGGUAAGUGGUCCCAGGGCCGCGGGUGGGGCUCUCACCCACCACUCACCCCCACAAUCUUCCUCCUCAUUCCCCACCCAAGUUGCAACCAUCUCCCCUAUCUCUCCUCCACUCGGUCCUCCUUUAAAUCCUUCUAAAUCGGUGGCAUUUGUCCAUGGAUUGUGUGUCUUUUCCAUUCCUAGAGGUAACCUCCUUCACCUCCCAAGUUCUGAUUGGAUGGAGUGUUAUAUUUGGAUGGUUUGUUCAUGUGACUCCUAACCCUAGUUGUGAAGAUUUCUCCCAAAAAUAAUCCUUGAAUUGUUGAUACUGUGACUAGUAUGAUGUUUGUGAUGUUUAGUAAUGAGUAUGGUUGGUCCAAUAGUGGUUUAGGGUUAGUGCUAGUAAUGAGAAUGAACAAAGCUUAGGGUUUUGGGUUAGGGUUAAUGUUAGAAUUUAGGGUUAGGGUUAGUAUUAGAAAUUGUUCUAACUUGUUUUGUAUGUCAUGUGGUAGAUUUGUCAUUGAUACUUGUAAGUACUUACGAUGCCAUUGUUUUUUAGAUGGAGAGGAUCAUGAAUGUUCAUUAUGCUGACAAGACGAUAUUUGUGAAUGGUGAGAUUGUUCACAACGGUGAGGAAGUGUUGACAUUUUUUUACAAGUCCUACGUUUUUUAGGAUUACAAGUCUUGGUUAUGAGGAGGUUGUGGAAGAUAUAAUGAUUUCAUUAAAUUGGAUGGAUCUACGUGGGCCAAGCCAAAAAUGCCGGGGGUUAGCGUUUCUAUUUGGGGCAGUAAUGCCACAAGUCUUGGCGUUGCUAAAAAGGGUAAAAUCGUACUAAAAAUCAAGGGAGGUCAUUUCGUGCUAAGGUUUUCUGACAAGGUUNNNNNNNNNNNNNNNNNNNNNNNNNNNNNNNNNNNNNNNNNNNNNNNNNNNNNNNNNNNNNNNNNNNNNNNNNNNNNNNNNNNNNNNNNNNNNNNNNNNNNNNNNNNNNNNNNNNNNNNNNNNNNNNNNNNNNNNNNNNNNNNNNNNNNNNNNNNNNNNNNNNNNNNNNNNNNNNNNNNNNNNNNNNNNNNNNNNNNNNNNNNNNNNNNNNNNNNNNNNNNNNNNNNNNNNNNNNNNNNNNNNNNNNNNNNNNNNNNNNNNNNNNNNNNNNNNNNNNNGGUGGGGGGUACAAGUAUGUUACAACAGUGGGUACAAGUCCUAGUUAGUUCGUAUGUGGAAUACAAGUUGCGCUAGAAAAGAAGUUCUCGAAACUUAUUAAUAUGGAAUCUAAUUUUAAGGAUUUUGACGCGAUGAAAACAGUUUGUAAUUUGGACGAUCAGUUUAGGUGAUAAAUCAUUUUAAAAAGUAUUAAAAAAAACUCAUGAAAAAGAGGGUCUUUUAACAUGGUCGCUCUUACAUCUUCUUUUCACAUAAGAGGUAAGAAUAUAUAAUAGGUCUGAACUGUUGAUUUCAUUAAAUAGUGGGUUUGAUUAAUCUUACCUUCUUACCUUCCAUGUGAAAAGAGGGGGUAAGAGGGAGAGUAAUUCAUGCUUUCCGUAAAGUCCGUUGGAAUAUGUCCGUUCGGUAAGGGUGACCAUGUUAAAAUUGCUCCGUAAAAGAAGAAAUACGUACGAGCCUUUUCUUCCCUUAACAACAGAUUUCUGGAUCCUCGGAACAUCUGGGCGUCUUCCUAGUUAAUCUAGUGCACACUGGAUCUAUCCUGCUACGUACCCGGCUUCAUAUGGACGAGCAAUCAACAAACGAGCGAACGGCGGCACGUAGUGUGGUGCGGGGGCUACUCGGUCGGCGGAGCAGCUCCGAAAGACCGAAACCCAACCGGCAGCGCGCGACCCUCGUCGCAAGCUUAGAUGGAUUUCAACACGGAGGGUCACAAAAUAAUCAUGAGUGCCCCUAUGAUCAUGGCGGCAAACAAGAAGCUGUCCUCACAGCGCAGUGGAUGCACUCAAGCAGAUUCAUACACAGCGGAGCGCAAACCCAGGGAGCAGAGCAGAUCUACAAGAAGGAACUGACCUGGGGAGGGCGGAGGAGGACGGAGUCCAAUCUUGCUGAGAAACCCUCGACCUCCGCAUAGCUGAGCUGAGCACCCGACUAGAGAUGAAUCCGGAUAUGACCUAGGUUACCCACCAAGUGUCAAGUGUGGUAUAGUAGUAGUAGUAGUAGUAUGAAACACGACUCAGAAAUAUUGAUUGAUGGGCAUGUCAUACCGGUCGCCACCCCAAAAUCUUCAUCUUUACCACUUUAAAGAUUCUCCUUCCCUUCCUUUAGUGACACAUACAUACAUUUAUAUACGCCUUUUAAACGUGCGGGGUUGGUGGGAACCGGUCCUUGUGUCAGGUUUCGCCGUGUGUCAAAAGUGGCAUUAUGUGAUUGUGAAUCAAAACUGGAACAGAAUGGCCAAAGCUUUGUCAUAUUAUACUAAUACUAAUAAUAAAGCAGACGGAAAUAAUUACAAAUGAUGAGUUCCACUAGUAGCUACUAGCAGUAGGUAGUACGAGUCCCCAUCAGUUCUUCAGAAUUUCAUACAGCUAGUUUCUUUCUCUCCCUUUAUUUAUAUGGCAGUGUGACGAGCCAAAUAGGCACAGCCAGCGUGGAUGGUUGCAGCUGCUCGUGCUCGGACGCUCAAGCUCUCCGCGUCAACAACUCGGACAAUCAGAUUGGUGGUGGUCUUGUACUCCAGGAACUGCCAACAGUGUCGCAAACCGCUGCUGUUGAAGAACAACUCGAUCAAAAGCUCGAUAGUUUCUGGGUUUUGGACUGAUGCUAAGGGCUCCAAGCGUGCAGGCUUUUAGAUUCAUGGUCCUGGUAACAUGUGAUCAGAGCAUUUUUCCAGGGCUGUCCUUAUCUCCUUCAGCAUCUCGUCGAUCCCGAUGUGCCUCCUGCAAGGGCAGGAAAACAACGGAAAUGACAUUUUAUAACAGAAGAAGAGAACAGUUUCUUGCGACACCGAGUGAAUUAAAGGGGAAAAUGUGUUGAAUUUGUACAACUUGAGGACAUUUGAAGCAGUGUACGAGAAAACUCAUGGUGUGAUAAUAAUGCAAGUGUCACAUGAGGAGGCUUACAAAUUAAUCAAAUAUCAAAUGAAAACAGCAGAUAUUAGUCUCCCCAUGCACUAGGGAUCGGAUCAUACAAUAUAUCAAGCACCCCAGACCCCAGAAGAGAUGAGGUGGAAAAGCAAAGCGCGGUUUUGUAUUGACCAGCAGACCAACAGAUUUACGAGCUGUUUAAGUGAACAUGGUAAAAGAAUGUGUUAAGUUGGUCUGGUGAGAAGACUUACAGUACGCUUGCGCCAAUUACAGCUUGAGGCCUUGGGUAGUCUCCAAGUUCCUUAUCAUCAUCUUCUGAGGUAUGGUGUCUGUUGAAGUUUUCAUCUAGUUUUCCUUCGCUGGCAUUUUUGUCAUGGCAUUCUCCACAGCCUACUGAAGAUAUUUCAAGUGCCAAUGAAGAUAACCUAUCUUGGGCCUACAACGGAGAAAAACAUUGUUAGGGCACCAAUCAUGCCAAGAAAGAUCUAGAAAACUAAAUGCUAAAAACCAGGGAAACCAUAGUUUGAUCCAAAUUAAGUAGGAAAUUGCACCUUAGGAAGAUCAAUCUUGUUCAGGACCACAACAUAAGGCCGCUCCAGGUAUUUGGGGUUAUACAUCCUUAAUUCCUGUACAGAGAUGAUUGUCAGAUGAUCAUUCAACAUUGAGACUAUACUUGAGAAACUAAACAUAGACAUAUGAUUCAGUUUUCUCACAAGGCUUACAUUUGAAAUAAGAUUUUGCAAUCCCUUAGCAAAGCAACUAUUAUCCUAAAGAUCCUACUACCAAGUUCCAACUAACUAGAUCUUAAUAGUUAAUACUUAACAGAUAACAGAAUUGUUGGUGCAAGUGCCGCUACUCUGAUCAGUCCCUUCCCUUUAGUUCUAUUGAUUAGACUUCCUAUAUACAAAGGGCAAUAAGAUUAUGCUAACAACAAAUGAAAAAAAAAAUAACAAACUGUCCCACUACUGAUGCUAGUGUAGCUUCCAGGUUCAGGGUUAUAGCUAUGGACAAAUUAUAUAGUGAAUGUCAUUGCAAUUCUCAAAACAAAAUAGGACUUGGGAAUGAUGAAAGCAAUUAGUUACUUCUCUGACAAUCUUAUAAUUGUUCACAGGGUCAUCAUCAGCAGCAUCAACGACGUGGACGAUUACCCUCGUUCUCCUCAAAUGUCUCAAGAAAUUGCGACCAAGACCCUGCGGUGCAAUUAAAGCACAUGAUAAAUCCACAGAGGCUAACCACGGGAAGCAACAAGACGACACCUUCAAACAAACAUUGUGCAAAUAACACAAAGGUAAACGGCACCUUGCCCAGAUGAGCGCCCUCAAUAAGACCCGGCAAAUCUGCCAAUGUUGCUCCAGAGGAAAACUGCAACGCCCCUAAAGUGGGAUCUCCACCAAGCCGGCCAAGAUUUGGCAUUAAUGUAGUGAAUGGAUAAUCAGCAAUGUCUGGUCGUGCAAGCGUUAUAGCUGAUAGAAGUGUUGAUUUUCCAGCAUUUGGAAGUCCCUGAAAAUGCAAAUGAAGACGAUUAGGCCAACAUUGCGAUAUGCCAAAGAAAUAGAUCUGAAGCAAGCCUUGAAGACCUGAUAAUCCAACACUGAACCCUAAAAGUGAAACAGAAGGGACUCUUAGCAACUGCAACCCUUCUAACCCAGAGUCAUCUCUUGACUCUUGUAUAUAGAAAAUGAUCUGAACACCUUUUUCCUAAUAAAAAAGAGAGAAAAUCCAUUAUGUAGCAGUGCAACACUCUUACCACAAGGCCAACAUCUGCAACCACCCUUAAGAUUAACUCCAAGCUUAUUUCCUCACCAGGCUGGCCAUGCGUUAAUACCUACAGAAAAAGGAGAUGAGACAAAAUCACACCCAAAAAAAGUAGAGGUGAAAAUGGAGAAAACUAGUCAGCAAAUAAAGAUGUUGUUAUUUGAAAUAUUUGGAUAAUCCUAAACUAUACUGAUAGGAUCAGAUAACACCGAAUACCACGCAUUUGGUGUACAGUACUGUUAAAGAAUUCUUAUGUACUCAUUGGCAUUAGCGGCGGAGCAUCUGUUUGUUUAUCACUCAUUACCAAUUUGCGAUGGGCAUCGCAUCAGUUGGAGACAUGUAAACAGUAUUGCUAGACGUGCGAGAACUUCGAGUGGAGGCAGAGAACUAGAUUGUACUAUGCUCUCUGAUGGACCAGUGGUAUUAUUAUCUAUGUAGAACUAGAGUAACCAUAAACACUAAACAAUGCAGCACCAUGAACCUCUCUGCAGGACCGCUCAGCGCCUCGCUCACCAGAACAUGCCGCACAGCCCAUCAUGCAUGUUCUGCGGCCAAACUCUGGAGACAAUGCACCACCUCCUUGUGGACUGACUGUUCUACAGGAUCGUCUGGCACAAAGACCUCUCCUGGAUCCAUGCCCCCUCCUGUGGCCCGAAGCCCUCAUCGACUGGUGGGACGUUGCAAAGCAGAGGACUCUGAAGGAACGGCGCAAAGCCCUUGCAACUUGCAAGCACCAUACUCCCCACGUCCUGGAUGCUCUGGAAGCACAGGAACAAGUGCACCUUUGACAACAUGCGCCUGGACUCCAACGUCCUUCUUAGGGACAUCGCUGAUGAGGGUUGCGCGUGGGAGCAGCUGGGUUGGCAGCCUGUCAACCUGAAGGCUGGGAUGUCCACUGAUUCAUCCUGGCAGCGCCUUUGCCUUUGUUGUGUUUAAUGUUUCCUACCUGCCCUGCUUGGGCAUGUAAUUAACUUUGUUCCUGCCUUUUCAAUAUAAUGAGAUGCAGAGCUUUUGCGUUUUCUUCAAAAAUAAAAAUAAAUACUCCCUCCGUAAACUAAUGUAAGAGCGUUUAGAUUACUAAAGUAGUGAUCUAAAUGCUCUUAUAUUAGUUUACGGAGGGAGUACUAAACAAGCAGUGCAUUAUAAGAAACACAGAGCAUUUUGUUCUGAUCAAUCCUUCCCUGAUUUAAUGACCCUAAUAAGACAACCUAUUGGUAAAAAUGGCAUCGAAUAUAUACCAUCAAAUCCAGGAUUAUUUCAUAGGUAACAACUUACCUUAUCAGUAACAUCACGCAUGACAUUAGGAGAUAAAGCCAUGGCUUUCCCUCUUUUGUAAUCGGGCGCAUCGAUCAAGCUGAUCUGCAAAAGUGAAGUAAAUAUGUAAAACCAUAAUAAUGAUAGCAAGCAUAUGUAUCAUACAUGAAAAAGAAUAUCAGAAAACAAUGAAAAGUGUCCACUACACUGUUUUACAUGAGGUACUCACAUACUCAGCUACACUGGAAUCUGUAUUCAGAGGAAUAGGCAUGGUUAUCGCCAUCUCAACUAGUCACAGUGAGAUUUGCAAUUGUCUCCAUACCCACCUGGUUAUAGACAAACUCAGAUUUUCUCCCGGAGCAGCAGCCCUUUAGGACAACUGGGCCAGGAAUUUUAACGUGCAGUGGAGGUCGUAAGAAACAGCAGAUCCGACGGUCAGAAACGCCUCAGUCACUAAAACGGAUGGCCAAAAAUGAAGGAGGCGUGCGAGGGCUGGGAUUAGGCUCAAUUUUACUGUUCUAAAUGCCAUCCGUUGGUAACGCAAUCGUACCCGGUAACAAUCUAGUUAUAGACACUGAUACAGCCCUCAGAAUGCACUUUGGGUAUAUUAUCAGAUACAGGUUUUCAGGGGUAGAACGAUUCAACUUAAGUGUGUUGAAAGUACACAAAUGCGUCUUGACAUGUUAAAAUUGGUUAACUCCGAUACUUCGCAAGCAGUUUACACAGUUUUCCUGCAAGUGCCAUAAACCAGAGCAUCAUCGUGAAAUGGUUACUAAGCUCUAUAGAAUUUGUGCUGUCCAUAAGGAAUAACUUGGGUCUGCUAUUGCUGAAGCAAAACCCAUGGCUCCUAGCAUAGUUGUGGAAAUGUUUGCCAAGUGUCGUACGCAUUUGCAGACAGAAAUUCAGUCACUCUGUUUUAACAUUCUAACACGACGAUACAGAUUAACAUCUACCAACUCACCCCGCCCUGUCCACCCCUAGCGACGAGCACCUCAUCACCAGGAUGAGCCAAAUCGGCAAGAACAGACCCUUUCUUGCGCCUCACAACGGUACCUGCAAUUCAGUGAGCAGGCGAGGCAUCAUCAGAGUCAGACGCCUAACCUCACAGAGCCACAGAGCAAAAAUUGCUCCGCGUUCACAGCAGCAGGCCUACAAACCUACAGGCACGGGUAUCCUGAGCGUCUCCCCGGCGGAGCCGUUGUGCAUCCGGGAGCUGAGGGUGCCGGUGGCCCCGACGUUGCCGCCCCUCUUGGCGCAGUGCCGGGCCUUGGCGUGGAACCCCAGCAGCGACUCCUCCGCCUCGUCGGCGUACAGCACCACGUCGCCGCCGUGCCCGCCCACGGGCAGCGACACGGACCCGUCGUAGUUCCGCUUGAACGACACCUUCUUCCCGCUGCCCUUCUUGGCCUUUCCCUUGUCCGCGGCCCUGCCGCCGCCGCGGGGCUUCGAGGUGGCCGCGUCCGCGGAGGAGCCCGGCGGCAUGUUGAGAACGGCGCCGUGGCCGCCGUCCCCCGCGCGCACGCUGACGACCGCGUGGUCGAAGUACUUGUGCGCCUCCUUGGCUAGCGCCUGCGGCGGCGGGGAUGCGCUCGGGGGAGCCUUGGCCCUGGCCGCCGCUGACGCCGCCCGGCACGCGACCGCGAUCGGCCUGCGCCUCGGCGCGAGCAGGGCGUCCCUGAGAAGUUCCCGCUGGAGAAGCAGGUGGUGGUGCGCGCCCCCGGAGAAGACGGCGCGGUGGUGGCUGGCCGUGUGGGAGGGGAGGAGGAGCGUCGCCAUUGGGGUGCUGCCACUGGUGGUGGUGUCAGUCAGUGCAGCGCCGGGGUUGGGGAUAAGCCGCCGCGGGGUUUAGUUAUGGGCCGUUGAUGAGGCGCGGCCCGUGGGCUCGGACCAUAAUGGUGCGCUCGUACUGGGCCAAUUUGCCACGCCUCAAGCUCGACGUCCGGGGCUUUAGUUUGUGCCUUUUCCUCACUCAAGCGAGAGAUAGUUUGAACUUUUUUUGUCUACAAAACAUAGUUUGAGCUUUUUGUUCCCUCAAAAAAGUAAAAACUUUUUCCUACCCGCAGCGUCGUUGAUAUACCUGUUUUCGCCCCUCAAAUCAAAAAAGAAGAAGAAAAAAAGUUGAAAUCCUCUUUUCUAGUCAAUGAAGAAAGGACGUUCAAGCACACCAUUGUCCAUGUCAACACAAGGGGGAUGGAAAAAAGAAGAGAGAAAAAUGACUCCAUCUAACAGGUAGGUCCACAUGGAUAUGCAAAGUUGCAAACUGGCCGAUUGCCAGACUCUAGAAGAGACUCUCAAUACAGGUUCGUUCUACAUCAAACUGGAAACAGCAAUGUACAUCCACCGCAUCACAUGCGUGAAGAGAUGGAGGACUCCCGUCCAGAUCGCCUUCGCCUUCAC